RNAcentral lists this long non-coding RNA (87216 nucleotides) under Linum usitatissimum (flax). RNAcentral describes it as "long non-coding RNA (LUSI_LNC004615)". The stretch from base 42646 to 42718 matches the Rfam family "tRNA". Lineage: Eukaryota; Viridiplantae; Streptophyta; Magnoliopsida; Malpighiales; Linaceae. The record is from RNAcentral.
CCUCCGCCACCUCCUGCUUCUACACCUUUCAUAGCAGCUCCACCCGUCAGGGCGUUCGGUAGUCCCAUGGGUUUCCCUGGUAUACAUAUCAACUUCAAGAUUUCUUGCUUAUGCUUGAUAUAAUUAUCAUUAAUCUUCUAUUGCUUCCUUUAUUCUAUGGUUUGUGUUGGCUGUUCCAGAAUUGGCUUCUCCUAUGUACUAUGUUGCACAACCUCCACCAAAUAUGAGAGGAAUGCCCUUUCUGGCUGCACCAAUGCCACCUCAUGCCGUGUUUUUUCCACCACCAGACUUCCAGUUGCAUUCCAAAAUAGUGACUCAGAUAGAUUACUAUUUUAGGUACCCUUCUCACGUGUACAUUCAAUAGUCUGUUUAGGAUGCUUCAUUUUGGCUACAUAAUUUGCUCACAUUGACUGAUCUUGUGAUUACUUGUGUAUGGCAGCAAUGACAAUUUGAUCCGUGACACCUAUUUGCGACAGAAUAUGGAUGAUCAGGGCUGGGUACCCAUUAACUUAAUUGCAGGCUUCAAAAAAGUGAGUUGUAUCAUCGAUUUCUUAUCUUCUAUGUGCUGCUCUUAUCUCAUCUGUUUUAUCUGUCCUUACAACUGGUUUCCCAUUUGAUUGCAACUAUAAAAGCAAAGAAGAAAGUGUUUUGUCACGUUGCUCACAUUCAAUACUUUUGUGGUACAAAAUAGGGUUCUAUGCAUUAUUAAAUGUACAGCUUUUCUGCGUUUGUUCUAUUAACUGUAAAAAAAGGAGCUGCUCAGUUGGAGCUAGAAACGAGCGCUAGCAGAAGUAAAUAUUUGUCAUUUGACGAGAUGAACUUUGAUUUCUGCUUUAUGUAAUCACAAAACUGGCACUCCCACAUGCAUUAGUUGGGCGAUAAAAUUGUGUAUACGGGCAUGCUGGAUUAGAACAAUGGUGUAAGAUAAGGUUUUCUGUAGGUAGGAUGGAGGAAGAACUUUAACACUAGUUGGUGUUAAGGUUUAAUAAACGUUCAUCAAAACUAGUGGUUGUAAACCAAAGAAUAAGGAACUGAUAAUUCCUAUUGAUCUUAGUAGCGUUCUGAAACAUAAGAAGAGGAUAGUUAUUACUAAUUACUACUAAGAAAAUGAAUAUUAAGUCGGUUCUUAUUGCUAAACAGAUGAUAAAUCAGCAAGAAAUUACUAGCUCCAAGUGCUAAAGAAAUAAAAACUUGAUUUCAAUUCGUAGUAUAUUUGGGUGGUUAGUUCAUGCGAUUUGAGUAUUUCUUGCGACCAUGGAAGCUGAAAAGAAUGAGUAAAACAUCAAUGACAAGAAACUCAGUGGUAAGCUUUUGUUUUGACUUCUAUGUUUCAUAUUGGGUUGGAAUUAUCAUUAGGUCUCUAUAUAUUAUGUGCUUCCCUUUCCUCUCAUGUUAUGCAGGUAGCCUUUGAUUUUGUGUAUGUCUGCUGGUUCAAUGUAUUGAGCUGGUCAUAUAUGUAAAAGAUGUUGUCUUUGUACUCUCAAGGAAAUAUUUGUUUAUAUUCCUGUAUUCCUUGCCUAAGGCUAAGCCUUAUGACCACCAUAUUAAUCAAAUAUGAAGAUGCUGAUAUAGACGGCUUUCUUUUCCGUCUGAGCAGGUUUCACAACUUACAGAUAGUAUUCCACUGAUAUUGGAUGCUUUAAGGAAUUCUUCCAUUGUGGUGGAAGUACAGGUAUAAAUUCUGUUUCGACUAUUGAUGGUGAGGGUUCAAAUAGUUCUUCAUUACUGAUAUACCUUGAAUCGUCAAUUGCAAUAUAUAGGGUGACAAAGUAAGACGGAGGACCGACUGGAUGAGGUGGUUGUUGAAGCCAUCUCAGGUCCCAAGUGUGACAAGCUCUCAGGGAGUCGGCGAGUCCAGCAGCCAAGACACCAUUUCAGAUAAUUUGCAGAACAUGUAUUUGGAAGACAAGGUUACUGGGUCUGGGCAGAGCCAAAGUACAUCUAUAUCUGGUGAUUUUAAUAGCAAUGAAGAAGGCACAAGUCGAGUUGGUCAUGAUGGAGAUUUGGAUGGAUAACUUGUUCACACUUGCAAGGAGUUGAAGUGAGAAGUGUGUUGUGAUGCUCAACAUUCAACUAAAGGCUUGAAGGGAGAAUGUGAGGAACGAAAGAGGGGUCGGUCUCCUACAUAUUUUUGAUGGUAGUGGUCUUGCCUAUCGCCAUUAGAACAUGGUAUUCGGUGAGCUUCUUUUAGAAAAUAGGCGGAAACAAAAAAAAACUCUUUAAAAACAAUUUUUUGGUAAAAGAAAAAAAAUUGAAAACAAAAAAAAAACAAAACUUAAAUAGAAACUUAAGGUAAACAUUUUAUGGAUUAAGAUAGUGAAUGAUUUUAUUUAUUUGGAUUAUUAUGUGUAAAGAUUCUUUUUGGGUUAGGCAUAUUACUAUUUCUUCUUUCAAUUCUGUUUAUGUUCAGUGUCGAUGGUUGAACUCGUCCGCUGCAAUCCUCGAAAGGGAUGAUAUAACGUGUAUUUGUCGACAUGUAGAUGUUUCACCUCGGUCAUUAUGAGUGAAAAUAAUAGCAAAAUUGAACUUGCGGAUCGUGACAGCAUAGUGCUGUGGCCGUCGGAAUGAACUGUUGCGCGCAGCAAGUUCCAAGAAAUUGGGAGGCACAAUGAGUUCCAAAAUAUGGAGUUGGACUUAGCUCGCUCUGGGAAUUGAAGGCUUUCCGGCGGAGUCGAGGAAGAAGACAGAAAUGCAACUGAGAGAAAGUUAAGCGAUCAAUUUUAAGCUCCUUUGGGUUGCCAGUGCAACCACUAAUAAUUGGAACUGUGACAGAUUGGUAUGGCUGGUAUUGGUUCUUGAAUUGCUACAUUUUCAGUCAUUUGCAAUAAAUUUCGUAUUCGGUAAUACCAAAAAAUUGAAAAAAGCUGUAACUUUUUAAAAAAUCUACUCCAAGUUAAAUUUACAGAAAGUAAAGAGGCAAAAUGUGAAUAGUGAAUACCGAGUCUAACUCCCUAAGAGGCUAAGACCUAACCUAAACCUAACUUAUUUUCUCUCGGCCUCUCCCUCGGCCACCUCUGAUUUUUGGGUGUUCAAUUUAGGGUCAAGCCCGAUCCGGUCAAACCGGGUUUUGGAUUACCCGGUGACUUAAUAUGCAAACCCAAACCUGGUUUGAAUCUUCUAAAUUGCUGUGAUUUGAUUUGAGAUGGUCUGAAUAAGUGUAAUAUAAUCUGUUUAUUGCAACCCUCAUGGAGUGAAGUUUGGAGCUGGUGCGCUAGUGAGUUUUAUUUAGAAGAAUAUAACUCCUGUUUCGUUCUCUGUAGCAAGAGAAUAAAAUGGUUAAGUAGUCAGCUCAGCUCAGGCAGAGAAAAGAUAAUGUCUUUUGUUUUGUUAAUUAUGCUUCAUUGUUCAGCUGAAUGCCAAUGCUCUUGCUUUGUAUAAGGAACUGGAACAUCAACUUCCUCUCCUCGGAAACAGGUCAACAAUGCAAUUCCUAACCCAACCCAAAACAUUGCCGUGUCAGUGCGCCAAAAAUCGUUUAAUAAGCAUAAUGGUCCAUCUUCUUCCGAUGGUAGCUCUCCUCAGCCAGCAGCAUCACAAGGGCAUGCAGCCGAGUUUCAUCCGAAUAACCCUUCUCCAAGGGAUCAUACCCAGAGAAGCACUCAGUCACGCAACUCUAGUGAUCAUUCAGGGCAGCAACACAGUUCAUUUAGAAAUCGUAAUGGUGGGACACAUCCUCAGGUAAAUGGCUCUAAUUAUGGGGGUAGGCGUGAUCAUGAUCGUGGGAAUCUGGAUUGGAAUUCUCAUAGGAAUUUCAAUGGCAGGGACGGGCAUGUGCAACCACAGAGAAUAGGGCCGAGGUUCAUGAGGCACCCACCUCCACCACCUCCUGCUUCUACACCUUUCAUAGCAUCCCCACCGGUGCGGGCUUUUGGUAGUCCCAUGGGUUUCCCUGGUAUACAUAUCAACUUCUCUACAAACACAAUGACAAAGAAGUCAGUUUUAGCCUUUGUUAUCACUUUCUAUGUUUAUCAUUGAGUUGAAAAUGAUCGUUAGAUCUCUGUAUAUUAUUUAUUACAGUCAUGAUAUGUCUGUUGGCUUUCAUUUUGUGUAUGUCUGUUGGCUUUCAUUUUGUAAGUUGAGGUUCUUAUCAUGGUCAUAUAUGUAAAAGAUGUCGUCUUUCUUCUCUACAGGAGAUAUUUGUUUGGAUUCGUAUGUUCCUUGUUUAAGGCUAAGCCAUAUUACUCAAGUAUUCUUUUGGGUUUGAGCAGGUUUCGCAACUGACAGAUAGUAUUCCACUGAUAUUGGAUGCUUUAAGGAGUUCUUCCAUUGUGGUGGAAGUGCAGGUAUAGAUUCUCUUCCGACUUUUGAUUUCUAGGGUUCAACUUGUGUUCCAUUACUGAUAUAUUUUGUGAUAAAGUAAGACGGAGGACCGACUGGAUGAGGUGGUUGUUGCGAACAUCUCAGUUCCCAACCGCUACAAGUCCUCACGGAGUCGGGGAGUCCAGUGGUCAAGACACGAUUUCGGAUAAAGUGCAGAACAUGUCUUUGGAAGAGAAGGCGACUGAGCGGAGUCAAAGUACAUCUAUAUCUGAAUAGCAAUGAAUGCACAAGUCAAGUUAGUCACGAUGGAGAUUUCGAUAAAUAGCCUCACACUUGGCAAGGAGUUUGAAGUGUGAAGUGUGUUCUGAUGCACUAAUGGUUGAAGGGAGAAAGUGCAGAAUCGACUAAGGCAUGAAAGGGUCGGUCUCCUACAUAUUUCUGAUGGAAGUGGUCUUGCCUAUAGCCAUCGGAACAUGGUUCUCGGUGAGCUUCUUUUAGAACAUAGGCGGAAGAAAACACAGACUAAACUAUACAAUAAAUUAGAGUAGAAACUCAAGUGAAACAAACCUUUAAUGGGUUAAGAUAGUGAGAUUUUAUUUAUUGGGAUUAUUAUGUGUAAAGACUUUAUGAUUAGGUAUACUUAGUAUUUCUUUUCCACUUGUCUAUAUUAUUUGUCGGUUACUGUAGAUGGGGAAAUUUUGCAAUCUGUAUUGGCCCUCUCCAGCCACACUGGCCCUCUCCAGCCAAAGCUGGUGUUCUUUCAUACAUCAUUUCCUAAGAUUUUGUUAUAUUUAUAAACCCGAUUUUUGCUCGGCUAAUGGUACGUUGAUUACCCAGAAAAACUUGCAAGUGUUUAAGACAAGCUAAACGAUCGACAGUUAGAAGAAAUUACCCAAAUAUGGUGCCAUGGUGGUGGCAAGUGCAGUGUCAUUUCUCGAAUGGUUGUAAAAGCAAGCGAAGCUAAGCUAUUGCACUUAGAGGCACAGGGAAGACGUGCCCUUGCACAAUGUGACCCGACAGCAAUGAUGAUAGUUUCAAACAUGGACCUUUGCACUGCAUUUAUGCUUCAAACCUGGUAGGGUGUUUGAUGGGUCCUAGUCUACUGGUGUAAUCUCCCACUCAGUCAUGCUCAAUGCUCAAGGGUCGGGAUGAUCGAGAAGGAAAACCAACUACUCGGACGAACUAGUUUUCCCGAAAUGUUAUCGACAUCUACGACCAGGAUCAGGCGUGAGCCUCAAUUAGGGAUGAACUAGUGCUGGAUUUUUGUUAUCACUGCCGUAGCUUAAUUUAUUGUUUAUAUUCCUCGCUUCAAUAUACUUGGAAGGAUCAAAUGUGCCAUUUUGAAGUCUUUUUUCAACCUAAGAUCGAUAGCCGUUAAAAUGUGAUCCGACUCAAUCAAGUUUCAACCCGACCUAAACAGAUCAAUAAUUUGAACAAAGGAAAUGAAGAAAUCCAUAACUUGAUUAACCAAAAAAAUCGAGAGAAAUCUACAAACCAAGUGAAUUGUGAUCCGAUUAACUCAUAAUCAGAUCAAAUUGUGACAUUAUGAUAGAUGGACACCCCUAAAGACUAAAACUAACCCAAACCCAAACCCAAACAACAAAAGUAAUUCAUGAUUCAGUGAAGCACUAGUACUUGUUAUACUUUACACAUGGGUAAGAAUAUAAUCAACAUAUAUGGCCUAAAUCUUGAUGGGGAAAAGAAAUCCCAGAUAAUCACUUCUUGGUGUAUACCAAAUCCUUACCCUCCAAGGAUUCCAUCGAUUGUAAAGGUGGCGGCUUUGUUUUUGUCUUCUCAGGACCUGCAGAAAUUUCCAGCUUGUUAAUUAAUACUCACCCUACUGUGAUUCAUGGGGUUUAAAAAUGGCAUGAGAGAAAUAAUAUAUGUACCAUAAGCCCCUCGAAUUUCGACUUCUCGCCAUUCUUGAACUAGUGCACAGCAACAGCACAUCAAAUGAGAGAGGAAAUCGUCAAUGAAGCCUCCCUACAGAAAAGAAAUCAACAAACAUGUGGAACAAGGCUUGAGUUCUUUUGUAUUGUAACAGACUACUAUAUAGUAAGAUGAGACUAAUUAAAAAGGAAGAGGAGAUUAUAUAUUACGGAAAUAUUAAACAUGUUGCGUAGCUUCCUUCUGAUGCAGCAGGUGUAACAGCAACAUGACAGUAUUAAUGAAUACGCCAUCAACUCGUUGCAUGCUUCUGCUGAAGCUGCAAUCACAAAGUUUUAGGUUCUCCAUAUUAGGUUUAAGGAUAUAGUCUAGUGUUACUAUAUGACAAGAGUCCAGCUACCCACUUACACAUGUGCCUGUUUGAUGCUACAGUUGCGAUUUUGGAGAACGUGCCACAAGGAAAAAAUAAUGUCUUUACACCUGCCGUUGAACUCAAAUGAGGUAAAGAGUUCAUCGGCAUUGGCACAACAUGACUUCAUCCUACGACAAGUAAAAACAAUUCAUCGAGAAGACGUACAUAGUAACGGUUCUGAGCAACAACCGAGCAAAUCAGUCUGCCAUUCUUCAUCAUGACUGGAACCUUUUCUUGACAGCAAGUCGUGCCCUGCAGAAACCGAUGAUGUGUCUCUGCAAGAAAGAAAACAGUUCCAGUAUUCUGGAAUUCUUAAGCAAAGAUGCAAACUUUCAAAAUAGUUUCAUUUGAAGUGGUAAAUUUGGCACCAAACUAACACAUUUCAAACCUCUUAACUGCCUGUGGCAACGAUAAGCAGCCACGAAAUCACUGCAUACAGGUUACAAGAUAAAAAGUAUUGAUUUCACCUUGAGAUGGUACGAGAAUCGCUGUUCCUCGAAUAGCUGUUAUCAUAUGUAUGUUCUUUCACAUUCAUAUCUGAGUAGUUAGGCUCCAGUUUCUUCGAAACGGUCUUAGAUGAACUCUUCUCUGGAACCACACUUGCUGCGGCAACUUCUGUCACUUCCAGCAGAUGUUGGAUAACCUCACAUUGGUUCACAUCCAUAUUAGACUGUGACCUCUGUAGUUCAAUCUGUAGCUUUUCACUUUCCUUUUUCAGAGCCUCAUUAAAGCACAUGUUGGGAUAAGAACACGAAAGAGUCUUCUUCAACACUAUGGUUUGGUCUUUCACCGAUUCUGAUUUUAGGAUCAGAUCUUGAACCUUCCUAUCUUCUUCAUCCAAUGUGUACUCACAUUGAUCCCUCUCGAUAUAUUCAAGUCUAUCCUGCAUAUGAAUAUCAAAAUCCCCACAUAUGUUAUUGAAGAAUGCAUUGCCAUGUAUAGAAUAACAUUUGAGAGCUAUUGUUUGAGACUGUGCAAUUUGAGGCAGUGCCACGUGUAAGGAAAAUGGUAUAAGAUCCAUAAUUAACCUUCUCUUAACAACUCGAGUUAUCGGGACACAACAGUUCUCCGCAUGGUAUUAGUGCCUUCUCACUAUCCAAUUUGACUCAGAGGGCCUGAGAUCGAAUAUUGUUAGCCUCAAUAUAACAAUUGCAUAUGCACAAGGCUUGGUGGACUUGUGUAAACUUCAAUUCCCUUUCAUGGGUUUCGUUUGAGGAGGGUGUGUAAAAGAAUGGUAUAAGAUCCAUAGUUAACUUUUUGCCAACAACUAGAGUUAUUGGGAGGUGAGAGAUUGCAACCUAAUCGGCGACUCCAGAUACUUCCAUAACCCUAUUCUAUUUUCGUUUAGUUUCUAACAGCUACAGAACAUAAGUAUACAAUAGAAAGAGAAGAAGAAGAAGAAGGAGGAACAAGAGAGAUACCCUGAUUCGAGUGUUGUCGACGAGGGUGAUGAGAGGAAUGAGGCGCAAGUAGCGAUCAAUCUCGUUCUGAGCCUUUCUGAACUGGUAAACAAUGUUCCAACCCAUAGCAAGCAAGUAGAGAUAGCUUCUGUCCUGGCAGCUGUUCACCAAAAGGAAAGACUUCCUGAGUGAAUCUUCAAGCUGUUCUAGUGGCUCCCUUGUUUCAGGAUACUUUUUAAGUUCCGAGAUCUUAAGCUGCUCCAAUAGUCCCCCAAUCAACUUGAGAUGCUGAGCAAACCGUCUGCAGUUCUUCUUGUGCAUUCUGGCUGUGCUUGCAGCUUUGACUAUCAGCCCAAUUAGCCGCACCGCAUCAACACCUGUGAUCUGUGCCACAUUUGCAAUCUCCCCAAAAUUACCCCACGCUGCCAUCCUUCCUCCUCCUCAAAGAUUAUGCAAAACUCAACCUGCUCCAAAGAUGCUAAUGGCCAGUUAUUCAGAAACCCAAACAAAACUCUCCACUUUUUUCUUGAAGCCAGGUAGAGCAUUAUGGAAAAACAAAAUCCAAAGAUUUCAACUUUACAGCAAAAUUUGCAGACACGGACUGAAAACUUCAAGGUUUUGUGUUUUUCUUAAACCGGAAGAGCAUUAUGGAAAAACAAUCAAAAAAGUUGCAGACACUAACUGGAUUUUGUGUUUUUACCUCUGACGUCUAGACGAACUGGUUCAGCAUAAGUUAUGCAGUAACAACGAGAAGUCAACAUGAGCAAUUUGAUCUGAGCUAAUUCUUGGGCUUCAAGCUUCUCAGACGGGAAGCAAAUAUUAGCCUUGAGAGCAAUAGAUUUGCAGAAGAAGUGGCUUCAUAGGCUGCAAAGGGACCACAAAGCAGCAAUAAAGAACCAGCAAGACCGUUGAGAGAGUGGGGUAAAAACAAGAAAGCAAAUCAGCAAUGAGAAAUCAUCCAUAAGCUUCUUGACUCGCUUUAGAAAGACAGACUACCCCAGUAAAAAAACAAAGCAAGAGGGAAAGAUGUAACGUUGGGUGAAAAAUCAAAUGUCUUGAAAAAUACAGCAAUACCCAGCAUUUAUUUAGAGAUUUGGACUCGCACCCUUUCUUCUUCUGAAUUAAUGUCUUGGGUCGCAGGGAUCCAGCAAAGUUGAAUCGGCCCACGCCGAAGAAGAAAGGAGAGAAGCGAGAAGAAAGACACUUUCAAUACUGAAGCUUGAACCCUGCAAUGGACCGGAAAUGGCUACUGGAACUAUGGAAGAAGAAAAGGGAAGGUGAAAUUGAAGCAACGGGAGGUCGGGGUUGAGGAGGAAGACAAACUCUUUGUUUUUUUUUUGGUUUAUGAACUUGGAAGCAUGCAAAUGCGGCUCCACAAAUUUCAAGUCUUUUUCUGUUUGUUUAAUCGGAGAAUGAGGGGUGGGGGGAAGCAUUGAAUUCUGAGAAAGGUAGACAUGGCUUUGAGGGAAAAAUUGGAACAAACGAAUCUCCUGAUCAGUGAUCUCUCUCUGUCACUCUCACUCUCACUCUCACUCUCACUCUCACUCUCACUGUGCAAUUUGGAAGUAUGCGCAGGCAGAGCAGUGAGAAGACUGAGGAAGAAGGUGAAGGAGAAAUACGGGGAGACGACGUUUGUAGUCUUGUAUAGUUGUAUCCCCACCCACCCACGCACCCAUGUUUCUAUUUUCUCACUGCCUAAAUAUUAUGAAGUUUGGUUUGCUACUGUGUUGUCUCGCCUUAACCUCUGGACAAACAAAUCAUAACACUCUUUUUUAUCCUAACUAUUAGGACAUUUCAGAGCCGUUAGAUAUUGUUAUUAAUCAUCUGAAGGUUUAAAAUAGUCAAUAAAUAAAUACUUGAAUUAAACAAGUGAAAAACUGUAAUUUAUUUUAUUAAUUAUUUUUAUUAGUUGCCACCUCUCACAAACUGAUUUUUUCCCCAUGAUUUCAGUAGGGUUUUUACUUCUUUAAUAUUUAAUAAUAAUUUUUUUGAAUAUGUUUUACUAAUUUCGAAAUAAGUCGUAACACUUAUUUUAGCCUUUUUAAAAAUUUAAAUUAAUUUAAUGCAACUAAUUUUAAAAAAGAAGAAGGUAUAAAUUAGUAAUUAGAUACCCAAUGUGAAAAUUUAUAAUAAUUGAGCUGAAUUUAUUAGCUUAGUUCAAUAAGAACUAGCAACAAAACUAAAAGAGUAGAUACAUAAAGGAACAAGAAAGAAAAAUGGGAAAAGAAGUAAUGGUAGCAAAAAUGAAGAGAAUAGAAUUAGAACAAAAACAAGGAAACUAAUGCGGUAAAAAUUGCCCCAAACUCAGCCAACAACAAAGGAAUUCGAAGCUCUCUCAAAAUGCAGUUUUUUUUGUUAUGCUCGUAUUUUGUUUAGUAGUCGGAUAUAUUUUUUUUAUCGAUUUCUUCACCUAUUUUUUGAGUGUGGCCCUAAAAAAUCAAAUGUAAUCAAAUAGAACUUAUCAAACCGGCCGUCAGAGGUACCAUUUGACCAGAAGAGGAAGAGAGGAGACAACGGUGGAGGUGAGGGUGGUGGUGACGGGAGCGACAACCAGUGAAGGUGAAAGAGGUAAAAUUAUGUUCGAAUUGGGGGGUGGGGGUUGGUUUUUAAGCAUAAAGAUCAAAAUGUAUUCACAUAAUUUUACGUGAGGAGAUUUAAAUUUAGGGUGUUUUUUCAAAAAACUUAGGGCAAUCGAAUAACAAUUCCUCUUGAAGAAACAACACAGUUGAUAUAUUCUCUCUUCAACAUACAAAAUACACUUUAGUUAUAGAAGUGGUGGAUUAAUUUUGCUCAAGGUUUCGAUCUUUUAUUUUAUGAAAUGACGCAGUCGGAAGACAAGAAGAACUCGCAAGCGUAGUUCUAAAAGAUAUUCAAGUUUGCCAGUAACAAACUCGAAAGAUAAAAUUCUGAAAUCCACUAAAAAGAAAAACUCCUUGAAUUUAUUAUUCAAUAGAAGAUAAGAGACAUGACUACUAUCAAUAAUGUCUUUAAAUACUAAUUCUCUACCUAAAAUCUACUAGAAUAAGAAAAAAUAAAGAAAGUCUAAACCUAUUAGGAUAUGAAAAAUCAAAUAAUAUUUUAAAUAUUAAUUAUUUGACUAAGGCCUAUCGGGAUAAGGAAAAGGACUAAAACCUAAUAAAAUUAGGAAAAGAAUUCAAAGCCAACUCUUCUUCGAUCCAGGUCGUGAACUCACUGCAUAAAUCUCCUCCACCCAUAAAGAACUCGACCCCGAGUUCGUACUAGGAUAAGGCGCAACAUUUUAAUUUGAAAGGCCCAUACUUACGAGGUUGUAGCUUUGAGUAAGUGUCAACGUGAAACCGCUUCUUUUGGAGGGACACCAUCAUAGCAUCACCCACUCCAAAAACUUUAGUGCACCGGUGCACAUAAGCAUUAACUUUGUUUUUUUGUCGGGUAGCUACAAACUUCGUCUUAAUAGUGUCCUUAACAGCAAGCACAUCUCCGGCCAUGUUUUCGGCUGCGUGGCUCCCGCUGGGAUCCCAUUGAUUCAGCUUAUCCUCACAAACACUUCGAAUCAUAUUUCCCAUAUUUCUGUUGGUGACCUCUGUUUGCCCAUUCGUCCGCGGGUGAGCCGUUGAGCUCCUGUUUAGUGCAGUACCAUACAUCCGCCAUAGAGUGAUCCAAAAAAUGGUUGAGGAAUUUGGUGUCACAAUCGGACGUGAUAGACUUGGAAACUCCAUGCAAACGCAUAAUUACUUUGAAAAAAAGCUUGGUAACGUUGGACGCAUAGCUUUGAGGAGGGACGAGAAAACUGUCCUUAAUCGUUCUCCUAUAGUUGGCUUUGUUGUCGAUGCACAUGAGCCACUGAUUUUUUUUCUUAGGUACUAUGAGUUCCGGCACCACACACGGAAUCAUACUAUGAUCUUGUAUGAAUCCUUCUCCAAUAAGUCCUCAAUUUGUUCUUGUAAUAUUUCGUUCUCCUUGGGACUCAUGUGAUAGUAAGGUAGAUUCUGCACGUUAGAACCUGAAAUCAAGUCGAUCUAAUGUUGAAUAUCAUGAAAAGGUGCUUUCUUGUCUGAGGCCACAUACUCCAAAAGCCCCAAGACAUGGUCCAAGGCCACCUUCUAGGCUGAAAAUCCCAGAGAUGAAGCAGAUAGCUGCAGUACUGUUUCAGGAUGCUGCAUUCCCACCAAGAUGCGUGGUACCUUCUGCUAUCUCAAAACCCAUGUGCAAGUCUUUGGCAUCCAAUCGUGUUCUCUUGUAUGAGGAUGAGCUGUGUCAGGCAGUUGCUCAAAACAAACUUCGGUAGUCCACUUCUUAUCUUCAUAGACUUCUGUUUCAUCCUUUUUGUAUAGUUUCUUUUAGCUCUUUCUCUGCAAGUCUAUUAGUUUAAGUUAGCAUAGUCAGGAAAGGUGGUUGGUAAUUUAGUUGCAGCGGUGGGUGGGCUAAAAUAUGGAUCUUGUGCCUGCAUUAGGAUUUUGAAAGGGUUGGGAAACCAGUGUGUAGUGCAAUAACCAGAGCUUUUGAAGCUAGAUAGGCUGCAUAUUAUUAUGUCUAUAUUUUAUAAACUGGUUUUCAUCUAUUGAUGGAGAUGUCAAGCUCCUGAACUUAAAUAUGAUGUGAGAGUAAGGUCGCUGUGGUCCAUAUUAUCAUUUGAUAUCCAGAUUUAGUGACUUGUCUUGUUCAAGUAGCCAUUCCAUUCAUGUCUCAUGGAUGGGUGUUCAGUGUUUAAUGAGGCACAGCUGGCUUAGCCAACGACCAAAUGCGACGUUCAAUUUCUCAAACUAGCUUUCUUUCAUACCCAGGCGGGAACCCUUUAGGUUCGAGAGUGAAAAAAACAAAAGCGUUCGGUUUUUUAUUACUGGUUUAGGUGCUAGAGUGAAAAAAAAAACAUUUAGAAUAGACUUGUAGGAGGUAGGCUAAUCCGAGAUUAAUGGUCUGUUUGUCAGCUGGAAUGUGGGAUGGAAUCCUGAGCAUUUUUACAUUUGUGGAGGAAAUUUAGAUCCUAACGAAGUGCAUUUUGAGAUUUAGCUUUUUCAUUUUCGUCCAAAUUUCAUUCCUGCAUUCCACCUUGCAAAUGGUUACUCAGUCGAGUCUGGUGUUUAUCUUCGAUCAAUGUGGUCGUUUUGGUCAGUUGCUGAUUAUUUAAUAGUGAUGUUGACAAACUAAGUCGCUUUGUGUUUGGUUCGAAAAAUGAAUCAGCUUGCGAGCCGACUCGAUGAUAAAUUAGCCAAACUUAACCCGACUCUAGCUCUGCUUGCUCAGUUUAUGAGCUCGAUGAGCUUUGCUCCCUAGCUUGUGAGUCAGCUUGAUUUUGGCUCGAUAGAUGUGGCUCGCGAGUUGGGCCCAUUCCAUAGGUUAAUUAUGAACUUGCGAGCAGGCUCAUGGUUGACUAGGUAGUCGAGAAUGAGGUUCGUGAAAUCCUAAACCGUAAACUUUGCUUAGAAUGUCAAACUUAUACACAUGCGUCACAAAUCUUCUUUAGUAGGUUUUAGAUGAUUCGUUUUCAUUUUGAAUAUAUCAACAAAUCCGAUUUUAGAGCCGAGUUCGAGCUGACUCACCAACAUAACUCGACGUCAGGAUACCAUUUCCAACAGUAAAAUGAAACGAGGUUGAUGUUUCGACCAAUAUUAUUUGAACCACUGAAAACGAAUGAAUCAACCAAAAUCCGAGUUUUUUCAGAGCAGCUUGUUCAGAACAGGGCCGAAGAGCUUAUAAGUAAGAGUCCUGGAAGCUGCUUCACUGGGAUGGAAACUGUCCCAGAACAAGUAUCUGGAUGCAUCAGGGCAAGUCCCAGGAAUAACACACAGUAUCCCCGUUUCCAUGUUCCCCGUCGCGCAACACCCUCUUAUAACCUCAUCAAUCCCUGCGCAGAAAUGAAAUUAAAAGAAAUUUGAAUUACAAAAGAUUUCAGACUCAUCAUAGCUCAAAGAAAUGGGUUUGGCUAACCAACCGUACGGAGCUGGAUUUUGAAUGACAGCAAGCAACGAAUAGUAGAGGUCAACGAACACAAUCCUAGCUUCUGGAAGCUGUUCAUUCAUCCUGUCAACUACCAAAGACAGUUUGGAGUUGAAAAGCCUUAUUCGUCUAUUAAGAAUCUCAGCACACUUUCUCUCUUCUCCUGAAGCUAUAACUCUCAGUGCUGGCACACACCCCGAGGGAGGUACGCUCGUCACUGCAAUUUUUCGCGCUCCAACCGCGUAUAAUUGCUGGUUUUCAUUUUUCGCAAUCUCCUCGGUAUUAGAAUGUUGCUUAUAAGUUAUAACAUAGAAUCAUAGGAUCGAAACUUUUUUUUUCAGUAUGAAGAGCAAACCUGAUGGAAGUCUACGACAUGUCGGAUCAUUAUAUCAGUGUAGGAAUUCUCGUCGACCUCGGACCUGACCAUAGGGUAGAACAAGGUGAGAUCGUUGCUUCCCAUGAAUGUUAUGUAUGCACUUUCAGAUACGAUGGACCAUGUUUUCGUUUCUCCGACACUUGCAUUCGCUUUGCUGAUGUAUUCUCGAAGCAAAUCCAACUGGCCCAGGAGCGGUAUUGCUCUCUUCUCUCAUGAAGAAAGAAAGACACUAAUGACGUUAUUAUUAUUGUGUUGCAUAUAGAAAAAAGAGGGAGGUGAAACUGAACAAGGAGAUUACAGUGAAUUCGGAUGUUCGAGGGUCGAAACCAGCACCGGCUGAAGCGAAACAGACUCCAGUAAGGAGUUCUGGCAGCUCCAAGUUUGGAUCCAGAUAAGGUGGAAGCAGUGGUUUCACUUUAAAAAAUUCAGCUGAAAUGAAGUAUGUUUUGGUGAGAAGUUGGGAGUUGGAAAAUUUUGGGAAAGGGUAAAUGAAAAGCAGAGAAGUUGACGUGUUAUUUACCUAAGAAGUCAGAGAUGCAUCUGCCAUUGCUGAAGCGUCCCGUUGCUAUUUGAGAAGGGAAAUCUCUGCCGUAUGGUGGGAAGUUGCUCCUUCCAAUGGUGGGGAUGUAAUUGUUGUUCCCGGUAUCAACCACCGAGUCUCCAAACACAAAUACAGCUGGAACAUUAUUAUUGUUACUGUUACUGAGUUUUGCUGUCACUGAAAUCACCAGCAGUGAUAAGAUAUUCAAGAGCACAACAUGAUGUCUAGCCAUGAGAGAAGAUAGAAUUCUUCAACUUAAAACUUGAUUAGCAUGUUAAGUUUGAUGAGUAAGGAAUCUAUUUGGUUUAGCAACAGAGAGGUGGCUGCGUUAAUGCAUAUCCAACCACCACAUGCAAUUUUCAAAUAAGAGAGGAAGAAACACUUGAACAUAAAUACAAGUGUGGAAACCUAGCUUAUCAGCACUAUAUCGAGAAUUUCUUGCCUAGUUCGCCUCUGGUGACUAUCUUCAAGCAAAGUGGUCCUUUUGGCCUUAAACAGAAUUUGACAGUGAUCUCAUUUGUCACAAUCAAAUCAAAGAAUCAAUGUAUGGACCAAAUGAAAAUGAUGCUUUCAUAUAUUUGCAUCAGCAAUACGGUAUUUUCCAGAACAGCAGAACAACUCAGCAGGCACCAUGCAUGCACUAUCGAUCCCUUGGCGGAUGAAAAUCUGCGAUCGAAGCGCUUUCUCACUGUAAUCAAUGCCAUUUUUGUUCAACAAGCUGAUUGCACAUAAGCAAAAGAAGAGCAAAAGCUGGAGAUCUGAAUAACCAAAGGCAGAGUAGCAUAACCAAGACAAAUCAUGAAAAGUCCGUGAGCAUAACCAGUCCAGCGACUUUGAAUAAUCUACAACUGGGAUUCCAUUGGCGAUUAUGAGUGUUAUUUGAGUCUCUAGGUAAAGCUGAGUCAAGAUUAUGAAAUGAAGAGAGUAACUGACCUGUAACAGCAUGGACAUGAGGGAGGCUUGAGAAACUGAUUGACAGUUAGAUCACCUAGAUAGAAGAAUCCCUGCUGUCUGAGUUGUGAAUAUAUUUCCAUAUGGAAUUUUGUUGUAUUAUUAUCUGUAAUAAUAAGUAACAUGGGUGAUACAAAGAUUCAGUAGAGAAACAAAAGCUUCCCAUCCAAAACCCCCCGAGCAAAACUACAAAACUAGACUACUUCUAUGGCUAACUUGAGCGUUUCCCCUGCAACCAGAUCAAGCGCCGAUCAGCAGUAAGGGACAUGAAUAAUUCCCUCUUGUUCCGGAAAUUGAACAGAUCGAGUGCAGCACAAUAGACGUUUUGGUCGAGAACACCUUCCAUCCCAUCCAGAGCUUUAAUGCAAUCUGCCAUACUAUACUUGUUUUCCACAUCAUUCGCUACCGUUGUGUACAAUCUCGAAGCAGCUGCCAUAUGCUUCAUCCCCGCUGCAAUUGCAUCAUCCAUACCCUUCCUUCCUCUUUUCUUACUACGAGCUGCAGUAGGUCGAAUCGUUCUGUUGGUAUAGGGUUGAUCACCUGUCUCUUCCGUUUCCUCUGAUGCCGACGACAACUCUUCGUCCUCCUUUACAACAUCUGGAGGCUGAUGCUCAAAGGAAGACUCCUGACUGUGUCUUCCAUUAGAUGAUACCACGGGGCUGGAGAAUAUCAAGCACAGUUGAUUGUAGAAUGGGCAACCAUUGUUUCUUAUCUGCUCAGCAUCCGGGUGCUCCUAUUGAACCAGUAAUGCUACUGUUAGCAAUUCAACAUAGAAAUCAAAAUUGCAGCAAGCAGAAGUAGUUACUAGUAAGGCAAUAUUUGAUCUCUAGAAUGAUCUUUCCUAUGAAAGUUGAAUUGGGAUUAGUAGAAGGAAGCUGAGUUGAGGUUGAUGCAUCUUGUGGAAGGAAAAUUGGAUUGAGGCUUGGUUUGGAAACAAGAAUCGCGAUUCCUAUGAAGGUUGAGUUGAGACUAACGGAAAAAAUUUGAGUUCGGAUUGUGAAACGACUGUUAAAUCAAAGGAUAUAACGGAUUCCCAGGGAAGUUCCGUUUUCAUUGGAAAAGAUUCAGACCAUUUGGAAUCCUUAAAUUCCUUAAACCAAGUUUCCUUGAACAAUCCCUUCCAACCACAACUCAACUAUUUUCACUAUAUUAACUCAACUUUCCUAGAAAUGAAAAUUGUUGUUGCCAAACCAUUCUCUUUAUGUCACUCUAUUCAACUUUCCUCCAACAACCUCUCCAAACCUCAACUCAACUUUCUAAGACUAACCUCAAUUCAACUUUCCUAGAAAAACAUGAUUCUCCAUGUCAAAACUUAUCUAACACUUACCUUAAGGUAGUCGGCCCAAGCAUCAUCAUUGGCAGCUACAACAGUGCCGGUGGAUUCAUCAAAGCGGAAGCCAGUAUGAUCCAGGAGUGGCUUAACAAUGGCGUACUGCUUCUUCAUGAGGAUGUGUUUACUCUUGAGUUGCUGUUCACCCCAUUUCAGACCCGUUUUCUGGUGGAAUUGUUGGGUUAUGGACUCCCAAGCUUGCUUCCUGAAAGAAGUUCUGGUUCUGUUCCCUCGUUGAACUUCGUCCACCAUCAACUCCGCCACUAUCUUGGUAAGGUCAUUUGUCCACCUGGCCCGAGAGGGUUGCUGCUGGUCAUCCUCCUGAACUGCUCGUGAUUCUCUCCCGUAUCGAGUUACACGGUUAGGUGUCGUCAUUGUCUCUGGAGAUAUUUUGUCCAAUUUCAUUUACAUAAAUCAGGAAAACGAGUUGACCGCAAAUUGACGAGCGCCAUUGAUGAUUCUAUUCAUUCAAAUUCCAGGAAACCCUCAUAGGUCUAUAUCUCUCAGUAUAUAAAAAAGGAAUCCUCAAUAACACAAUCACAAUGAAUUGGAACCGGGAACCCUUACCAGGUAAUGCAGAGGCGAGUGAAGUUAACUCCAAGAUUAUCCGACUUGCUGUUGGGGAAUUUGUCUGAUCGAGCAGCAGAGAGAGCCCUGGAAUUCCACUCGGCUCCAUGCGAAGUCAGCAUAACUCAUAAGCUGUUCUCCUCCCUAUGGGCCACCAUUGAGCCCAUUUCCCCCAUGAUAUUCUUAUAUUCAAGAUACAAAUAUGAAAAUCAUAACAUUUGACUUGGUUGGUUGCUCGCUCUUAGGAACAAAGUAUAUUUUAUGAUCAAUUAUUUAUCGUGAUAAAAAAAUUGAAUAUUGUUAUCGAUAAAACAACUAAUUAAAAAAAAUGUAAAUAUGAAAGAUAGGGUAAUUAAGUUGAAAAAAUUUAACAUCUCACCUAUUUUAGAAUUUUAUAUUUUAGUCUAUAAUUAGAUUUGUAACCAAUCCAUACUUAAUUAGAAUGUAAUGAUGUAAUUCUUUGGUUUAAUUUCCAUCUAUUUGUCACUGAGGUGACAUCCAAUCAUUCAUCCCAAUGAGUUAAAAUACUAGAAUUUUAUUUAUUUAUAUAAAUAAAACAUAAAUAAAAAAUAUUCAUUAAAAACAAAGAGGUUGAAUACAUUGCUAUUCCACUACUUGUUAGUACACUAUUGUUUCGAGUUAUGAGCUGACAGGUUUAACCGUUUUCACCUUCAAAAUUUAGUUGAUCAUUCCGAUCUGUCUCCAAGUUUUGAAUUCAGCUUGGAUAGUUGAAAUAUAUCCAAAAUUUCGAUUUUUUUUGGAAACUGCUUCAUCGAAAUCUUCCAACUAUAGAAGUCUUGCGCAAAAGGGUAUAACUCUCCCAUCAGACUUCUCAGUUUGCCAUGGCCCUUUGGUGUCACACGAGCAUCUCCUUUUUACCUUUCCUUUCGCCUUGAAGUUCUACUCUAUGUGUGGCUUACACCCAUCUCAACUCUCAGAUACACAUUUUGUUUACUUAUGACGGGAAAUCCUAAUGGAUCAGUCUCAUCUUGCUUCUAUUUGGGUUCUCGCUUGAUGGAGGCUGUAGAAAAAUUAAAAAUGGGUUGUUUUUUAUCGGACUCAAUGGAUGUCGUCUAAGUUAUAUUGCCAGUUCUGCUGGCAGGUGACAGAGUUGCACCACUUAUUGUCGGACCCAGCUCCUUCUAUGGUUUAAACAAGCUUGGCUCCUUUUUCCCUGCCUUCCUUGAUCCCCCUGCUUCCUCAAGAUUUAAGGUCAAUGUGGACGAUACAAUAUGGCGAGGAUCCGGAGGGGCGGCGGGAUGGGUUCUCUGGGAUGCGAUGGGGACGGUGCUCCAUGCAGUGGGCAAGCCCUAUCCUGGUUUGUUUGAUCCCUCAAUUUCAGAGUUGCUGGCUAUGCAUGAUGCCAUUAUGUGGUGUCUUCAGUUUUUUUUGCAGGUGACUUUGAGGGAGAUGCAGAAGGAGUGGCGACUCAGAUUCGAGUUAGGCACUUUAGGUUGGCGGUUGGCGGUUUUGUUGCCGUAGAGAUUUGUCAGCUUCUCUCCUCCUUGCCAAAGGCCCGCCUCCUAAUUGUUCGAUGGUCAGGUAACAUAAUUCUUUAUUUUGUGGCGCGCGAGAUUUUUAAAUAUCACCAGAAGUGUUACCGAUAAUCCUCACUCUCUAUGUUGAUUUGUAAUUUGUUUGUACUUACUAUCUUUUUGCAUUCACAAAAAGCUAUCACGAAAAAAAAGGUUAAAUACAUUCGCCACUCAAAUUUGUUCACUCUACUUAUUUUGUUAACGAACUCCUAACUCAAGUUUUGGACAGAUAACGAAGGGGCGAUUCCGUCAACUUCCAUAUUCCAAAUAUCUGUUAGAAAUAUGAUGUGGCGAGCCGACCUCAUUAACAAAUAAUAAACUGAGCCACGUCACUUGGACCUCUCAUUAACAAAAAAUAAUCAAAAAGCAAGAUGAUGACGCAUUGACGCUGAGUUCGAUCGUAGUAAUGCAGGUGAGAUUGAAUUGAAGAAGAAGACAAGUGUAAUUACAGAGGAAGAGAAAUGAGCGCUUCAAAGGGAAAAUAUAUCGGGGCUAUGAAGAGAACAGGCACCACAUUUCUCCCCCGAUUCCUCUCCUUCUCUUCUUCCCAAUCUGCCAUUUUCUUUCUCUGUGCACUAACUCUCUCCUAUUUUCUUCUUCUUUCACUUUCCCUCCCCAUCUCCCACUUUUGUUUCCUCUAACUCCACUCUUGUUCUUCUACUUUCUAGUUACGUACAGAGAAAUUCUAGUUUCUUCUUCGUCUUUAAUUUCUAGCUGAAAAAUAUACCCUCUGUUUUUUAUUCUGUCUCCAUGAAUCCAUGUGGCCUGUAGAGCUUGUGGCGGUCGUGUUGGCCGGUGGUGGUGUAGUCGUGUGUUAUCAGGACGAGCGUCGACCUCAGGCGAAGAUCUGAGGCUUCAAUUUCAUUAAAAGUUAUCUGUUUUCUAAUCUCUUAGUUUUUUUUACUUGCAAUCGAGAAAAGCGUACAAAUUAUAAGGUGGAGAUGAGCGCAUCAAGGUUCAUCAAGUGUGUCACCGUGGGUGAUGGUGCUGUUGGUAAAACCUGUCUCUUGAUUUCUUACACCAGCAACACUUUUCCUACGGUAUGUAUGUGUGUGUAGCUACUAGCUAAUUAUGGCACAAUACUUACUUGAAAUAAAGCCAUGUAUUUGCAAUGAUUCGCAAUAUUUCAUCCAGACAUCCACUUAUUAACUCUUUGUUUCAUGGUUCCAAUGCGUGCAGGAUUACGUGCCUACAGUUUUUGACAAUUUCAGUGCAAAUGUGGUUGUGAAUGGUGCCACUGUCAACUUGGGUUUGUGGGACACUGCUGGUAAUGUGUUUCUUGUAUUCAUUUAUACCUACACUUCGAUCGAUCAUAUUUACACAUAGAUUCCAAACUUUAGUUACUUACUUGUUGCAGGGCAAGAGGAUUACAAUAGGUUAAGGCCUUUAAGUUACCGUGGUGCAGACGUUUUCAUCUUGGCUUUCUCACUCAUUAGUAAAGCUAGCUAUGAAAAUGUUUCCAAGAAGGUCUGGAUUGGAUUGGUUGUGUUUAUUUUGUUUGAAUUUUUUGACAUGCUAUGCUACCAACCGUCGGUAGGAUUAAUGCCGCUUAAUAAAUUUUCAGUGGAUUCCAGAGUUGAAACAUUAUGCACCUGGUGUCCCAAUUAUUCUAGUCGGAACAAAGCUUGGUAAAGAAAGAACAAACUCGACUAUUAAUGUCAAUUCAAUUUAUUAACCAUACACUUGCUUAGUUAUACGCUUCACAUGAUCCCAGAUCUUCGAGAUGACAAGCAGUUCUUUAUUGACCAUCCUGGUGCUGUCCCUAUUUCGACAACUCAGGUUAGUGAUACUAUGCACAGUAAAUUAAGAUUAUUUAGUUGUGAAGUGUAUAAAAAGGUAUGCUUUAAUUUAUUAUGUUGUGUUUGCAAUAGGGUGAAGAACUUAGGAAGCUCAUUGGGGCACCUUCAUAUAUUGAGUGUAGUGCAAAAACACAAGAGGUGAAAAUGGAGUUCGAUACUUGUGCUAGUUUCUCAUUUGAUUUUUGAUGAUUUGGUUGUUGAUGAGUGUGAAGUAGUAGUGCAGAAUGUGAAGGCGGUUUUCGAUGCGGCAAUUCGGGUUGUGCUUCAACCACCAAAGCAAAAGAAAAAGAAGAACAAAGCCCAGAAAGCCUGUUCUAUUUUGUGAUUCCAAACAUGUAUUAAAAUCUAAUCAAACCAUCAGUAAUACUUGUCUUCCUUAGUUAAUAACUGUCAUUAACAGUACUCGAUACUCUUUUUCUGCAGUUGGUGCGGUGUCCAUGAAGCAUCAGCUGGUUCUGGUCUUCGUCAUCAUCACUCUAUUGGGAUCUUUAGUUGUUUAGAAAUUGCCUUUUAAUUUACUACCUAUAAUUAAUUUUCCCAACCUUUUGUUUCAGUUCUUCUUGUCUUUAACAUGAGUUUUUUGCUAUGGUUUUUUUGUUAUUAUUUUUAAUUCUUCCUCUUUUCCAAAAAUUGGAAUGCUCCUUCUUCUAUUUUGUAAGGACUCAUGUCUUAGCUUCAAGAAUAUUGCAAAACCAAAAUUAAAUCUGUGAGUGUUAGCAUCUUCAACCUCUAGCUCAUCAACAAAAAAAUAUGCACAUUUCGUCGCGGAAUACUGUUUCGCAACAAAAACAAAUCGAAAAAUGAACACUUGUCAAAUAAGAAGCCUAUUGGAAUCCAGUUUGCCUCGCUAAGUACUGCUGCUGUAAGUUCAACUCAAUAACAGAACAAAAUAACUGUUAGUGCUGAAUGUAAGACUCUGAAGCAACUGUGCUACUGGCUCCACUAAGGUAUUGAAACCGAAACAAACUGCUUCUUCACGAUACUAUAAUCAAUAGGAUUGUACCUCAAGAUAUUGACAGAUCAGUCAAGAAAACCUUUGCUGAUUUCUACUGCAAAAUGUUAAGAUCCAAUGAUGAAAGAUCGGUUCUUUGGGCGUCUGGUGUAGUUUUUAAUAUUUGGUGAAAUGUGCAGGAUUAUGAGCUUCAGAGACUGUCGUUCUAAGUGUUCUGUGAUUGUAUACUUGCAAUAGUUUUGGAUCAUCUGAUUACAUUUAUCAAAUCUUUACAAAAUUUGACACUAAUAUACUAUAUUAGUUGUUAGUAAAGCAGUCUUUAUUUAAAAAGAUGAUGAAAGUUACAGCCGCUUAGCAAAGAAAAAAACACACAGAGAUAUCAAGAGAAAGUCAGCAAGAAUGUACGGAUCUCCAUGGGAGCAAGCUCAACAAUUUGAGCGGAAGGAUCAAAGGGUCCUCCUCUAAGAGGUUUCCUCUCAUUCCCUUUAUCUCCUUCAACUAUCCAACUCAUUCUCUUUAUAUUAGACUUCUCCUGGUUUCCUGAUAAACUCAUUUCCUUCACUCCCUUUAUCUGCCGUAAACAACGUAAUAUUUCCAUCAACAUCCAGCUAUAUAUGCUACCUUUCUUUAAUUUUAUGGGUUUGGUUUUGUAUACAAAUCAUACCUGUUUCCCAGGAAACAACUUCUUCAGUUCGACUUUUGCUAGUGACGAAUAUGUAGCAUCCUCCCCUGCCUCAUACAGAUGAGCUAAUCAGAGUAGCACGCUUCCAUCUUCAAGUUCCUGAAAGAAUUUACAGCAGUAGAACAUCAGAGAUAGGGGAUACACUGUCGCAGAUCCAGGGGAGGCUCUUCCAGGCCCCAGCCCAACACGCAUUUAGGUUUAGAACUUCGAUAAUAUGUAUUUUUUUUUUACACUUAGAGGGUUCAUUAGUAUACUUUUUGUAUGCCCCCCAUCGCAUUUCAAUAUUUAUACAAUUUUGGCAUAGUGCAUCCAACAAUCCUGAAUCCGCCGUUGGGGAUACAUGUGCUUAAUGAAUGAAUGAAUGACUGAAAUGGUUGGUUUUUAGCUUUACCUCUAGAGUGAUCAAAGCAACAUUAUGGGGCAAGCUAUAUCCACUGUCCAAUAAUGUUGAUGUGGUCAAGUGAGUGGCUUUCCAUAACUUGUCAUCCUAGAACAAAACCAGUAACACAUAAUUCCUUUCAACAUAUAGAUGAGCAGCAAGUUUGAAUCUUGUACACAUGAAAUUGUACCAUGUACCCACCUCAUGAGUGAAUGCUAGAAGAAGGGGUGAAUAGAUCUCUUGGCCAGUCGUGCGUCGCCAUGUUGCUCCGCCUCCUAACUUGUCGAUGCUCAGGUAGUAAUUGCCUCGAACCUGAUCAUCAUCAACAGAAUAUAAGUGAACAUUCCUGGUCCAGACUGAUCGAGAGAGACGACGAAGGUGUUUAUAUAUUUUCCAUACAGUUAGUCCUUGACAUGUGAGAGAGUUAUCAACAGACUUGUUCGUCAAGAGGCUCACCCACACCUCUGCCGUCAUCUUGUAGAAUUCUCCUGCAAUUUUUAAGCAAUGUCAGUUCGAGAAGAACUGAAUGAAUGAUACCAUCUAUUAUUCAAUUAUGUGUGUAAGGUGCUGUUGUGGAACCUGUGGAGCAUAAGUUCUAGCUGACCAUCUUUGAUGCUGCCUCCACCAGUGGCACGAUCAACCAGCACAGACAGUUCAGCUUUGGGGUCCGUGAUAUAGGCUCCAAGGUUAAGCUGGAUAAGAAUAUCAGUGACAAAUGAAUGUUAGUGCUAAGCUAGAACUACAUCAAGAUUCCAAGAACUAACUCGUUCGGGGUAAGGUUUGGCAUCUGAAAUCGUGUUUUCUAAGAAAGUUGAGUUGGAGAUAGUUGAAGAAAGUUGAAUCCGAGGUUGGAAGAGAUUCCAAAGUGGAAUUUUGUUUCCCAAGCUACACAAGUGGAAAUUAGACUCUCCGAGGAAUCCUGUAUAUAACUUAAUUCAACUUUCCUCUCACGAGCCCUUUCAGCCCCAACUCAACUACGUUCCACUGAUCUCAAUUCUAACUUCCCUAAGAAACAUGAUUCUAGAUGCCAAACCGUUACCCUGAUCUCAAAUCAACAUGCAUUACCGGAUAAUAGUUUCCUGCAACAGGCUGGUUCACAGACAGGUUCCAGUCAUUUCUUACAUUGCAUACCUGCAGUGACAAUCAGUCCACUUUAGCAUAAGUUGUGGGUUGUGAUGGAUCAAAUAUGAUCAUGGUUCUCAAGUUUACCCUCUUUAGGAAGUCUCUUCCGUUAGAAUCCGUAUAGAACACUUUAUCCGUCACCAUGUUGGCUGUCAACUGAGAGACCACCUCUUUUCCAGCACCGUCAUCAGUUGGAAUCUGACCAAUCUUAAGAAUACACACAACAUAUUCGUGCUCAAUCAAUAUGUGCAGUUAGAAACCGGAUGAACUAUUCGAUAGCCGGUUGAUUAAUGUAGCUAACUUACAGUGUAUUCAAUUUCAGCAUGCUGUUUUGUCUUUGUAAAGCCUUGUAACCUGGUAAAUCCAUGAGCCGAAUUGCUGAUGAAUUUCAUCAGCAAUUGGUCCACGGAUGACCUCCAUGGCGACCUGCAAGUUGAAAAUUUUAAUAAGAUGUUGAAUCACUGAGAAAAAGUAUAUAUACUGUCUUGGAAUAAGAAGCUUACUUUUCUUGCAACAAUAUUUGGAGUGUUUGAAUCAGGCCGGAAAAUGUAGGCACCGGAACUUUGCUGUAAGAACACAGAAUGAUUCCGAUUAUCAGGAAAGGUGACUAGAUAGAAAUAUCAUUUCAUUUGAGGAGGUGAUGACAUUUCAUACCGCUGCUUCAGUACUUGAUGCAUACCAGACAUAGCUUUGUUGUAACGGUACAUCAACCUGCAAAACUUGUUGAUUAUAUAUAUAUAAUCCUCUCUGUCACGAAAUCGAGAUAGCAACGCAAGAAACUUACCCCGGUUACAUUGUUAUACAUCCGAGUGAGUUGUCCGGAAGUUGAUGAAAAUGACAUCUUUAGAUUCCCAGGUCCGAUUUCAACGACAUCAUCGACUGCAGUGCCCUUGACUGAGUAACUGUUUCUCGUUUUCGCUACAAGAUUAGACAAGUGGAGACGAAACGCAUUAAAAAAAACCGUUCCUCAGAUGGCUAGGGUGACUUAGAACUCCAAGAUUUGGUAAUUACAAAACGCAUUAAAAAAAACGUUCCUCAGAUGGCUAGGGUGACUUAAAACUCCAAGAUUUGGUAAUGUUUACCAAUAUCAGGUGCCGUGGACAGGAAGUAAGUGCUCCAACCAAGUGGAGGUACUGAUACUUGGAAGACAAGCCAGCUCUUUGGAACUUGGUCGGAUGAUUUCCCUGUGUAGGCCUUCAAGUAGAAUUUCCUCAAGUUGUUCGUGAGAUUAUCCAUGCUUAUGUAUUGUGAUUCGAUUGCUUUGCCCGAAGAAAUCAGACACGACAAGGGAAGAAUCAUUGACCUAAAGAGAAAGUAAUUAUGAACUCUUAUCCAGUCAAAUCUAUGUCACUCAUACAGAAAUGCUUGCGAAAUGAAACAAGUUGCUUGCACUUACGGGUAUUCUCACGAUAUCUGUCCGAUUCCAUCGAAGCGGGUUGUACACAAUAACAACCUGAGACUCAAAGAUUGUGAUAUAAGAACUAGGGUUACCAACUCAGAUAGCAGUAUGAACAUGUCCAUACCAGUGGCUUUCCGCUUCCUGCUUCUGUCGUUGGUUCGCAAUAACUGAUGUUCAACAAUUGGCACUGCACUAAAAGUGAUUUGGUCUGGCUAAACUGCAUCUUCCUAGUCAGCUACAAACUUACGUCAUUAGAGAUAAUUUGGUUUAAAAGGGAUUAUAAAGAACAAUAACCAGUUACAAAAAACAUACCUGGCUGGAAGUCUUAGCCAGGGAUCCACAUUGACCUCUUGUCUUCUUACUUACUAAGCAUGUAAGUGCAGCACUCACAGUCAUUUCCGCCUGCAAUGUAUUUCAAGACAGCGAUCGAAAACAGGAAAUUUCGAUAUCAUAUUACCAACUCACAUAAUGUGAAUUGUGAAAGUGAACAAAAACUAAGACUUGGUUUGACAGGUGAAAAAUUGGAUAGAAUUUUGAUGACUUUCCCGCCAGGCCAGGAAAAUGUUCAAAAUUUCAUUCAACUUCCUCACCUGCCAAACCAAACCUAAGAUUCUGAAAUACAAAUCUGCUAAAAAAAAACGGUGACAUCAAGGCCAUAACAUAAGUGCAUAUAGUGCAAUGAUUUUUUCACACGUUGUAUAGAUACCAAGUAGUAUCCGCUAAGUUGACGAACGUAUCUCUUGAAUCCAGGACGGCUAGUGAAGUAGCCGGUCCAAUAGGCAUCUUCUCCAUCAGCAUAUCUGCCAUCAACCUCAUUAAAAUUAUCAGAAGCUAGAUUGAUCAUUCAGUUAAGUUAAAAUCGAAUGAUCAAAACUUACGGGAAGAAAUCAUCAGUUUUGAGUGGCCAGGACUGGUUUGCUGCAUUUUUGGCAUCAGUGUAGAUAGAUGGCGUGGAGUACAAGACAUUGAUUUCUCCACCCUGCAAAUGUACACUCAAUUAAAAAAGAAUGUAAAAGUUGUGGCACGUUUGGGAGUAGGAUCACCAUUGUUUAGGUAUCUAUGUAACCUUGUUGACAUGAUGAAUGAGCUUGUCCAUUUGCCUGAACCAAGACUCAGCAAACUGGUACUGGAAAUCAUCGCCCAUCGUCCACAUUACAUGGUUCGCCCUCGUCACAUUAGCCUGUGUUCAUUAAUUAAAACAUGUCUAAUACAUUACAUUACUCCUUUGUCAUUAUUGUACAAACAAGACAUCACAAAUCAAACAAACAAAGGUUGUCACCCGUGUUUUGGCGGCAAGAACGAACUCCUUAACACGUUGAUCCACAUUGUAAUCGAAAAUACGAGGAUCAUCCUGCAAUGAAGAAUAUAUUAUGUUACGCAGAAAAUACACAGUGCAUCUAUGGUGAAAUGAUUAUAUACAAAACAAAAGCAAUAAAACCUGGACAAUUACACCCUGAUCAUCCUCAUCACCAACUUCAAAAUGGAAACCAGGUUGGCGGGCUAUAAUGUACCGGAAAUGCGUUGGCAAAUAUCUGAGGGAAAUUAAACAUCAUCAGUUAAAUGUAAACCGGCCAACGAACUAAUGAUUACUCAAGUACUUUAUAUACCUGAGAGGAGGAACCAAAAGUUCUGGAGCCACGCCACACAACUUCCAGAGACUUGUCGGCCUUCCUUUUCGCUCUGUCUUGGUAAUCAACCGUAGCGAAAUGUACCGAAUCGAAUCCACUCUGCAACAAACACACAGAGAGACCAUUGAUUUACCAUAUUUCAUCAUUCCGGAUUCGAAAUGGAUUGGAUUGAACCAUACCUCAGCGCCAAGGAGGUAAGCCUGGACAGCAGAGUGACCAAAUGAAUCGAUUUGCCAGGCGGCACGAGGUGUCGUGUUGAACUCGUUCUUGAUCAUCCGAUGCCCUAACGUUGUCUGAUCAAUCAUGUCUAUGUAAUGCGUUGCUGCUUCGUCGUGCAUGCACCAACCACCAUUUCUGCAAGUACACCAGCGUAACAUAUUUCAAACAUCCAACUUCCUGAUAAAAAAACAAACUAAAUUAAACUGUUGCAUACACGAAUUCGAGUUGUCCGCCAUGAUCUAGCUUCCUCACUAUCUCCUGUGUUUCCUUGCUCUGUUCUUCCCACCAACGAUUGAAAAAGGACUGAGCUUUGCAUCCAAAGGUCAAAAAGAAAAUUUCAUGAGAACCCAUUUUGACCACCAAUAUACACUAUACAGACACAACAGGUUAUGUUAGGAUGAUCGAAGCAUAAAUUUUAAAGUACCCUGAACGAAACACUGGGCAAAGUUUCAGUUUUUCCCAUUCUUCAUAGAAUUCAGCUAAUUUAGAGCCAAGAGACCGUGAAAUAUAACCCGAAUUCGCUCACCCUUGAUUCCGCCGUGAAAUGCUUAAUGUCGUCAGUGAAAUUGUUUGUUAAUUACGUACCAUUUCAGCAAAGACAAACUUCCUGUUGGGAUCCUUGAGAAGGGCAGCCACAACAGAAUCCAGCACAUUCUGAACGCACGCAUUCUGCCCCAUGAUCAUCACAAACAAUUUAAAAAGAAUGAAUUCACAGAAAAACAAAUCACAGAACAGUUGGAGAUUUACCUGAAUACUGUUAUUCGAGCCGACAUAGCAUUGAUCAAUGUUCUUCAGCCAUCCGACGUCGUCGUGUGAAUGAGGAACCAAAUGAACGUUCAGCUUUCCAUCCACAACCCCACUUCCUGUGUCGUAAUGGUAGUUGAGAAGAGCGCCGUCGACAACAGUUACGUACAGAGUAGAUAUGACGAUGAGCGAGACAAACGGCCACGUCAGCUUUCUCAUGUUUCUUCUGGACAAGUAUGAGGAUUAUGAGAUUAAGAGGUUGGAAACUGGUUAUAUAAAAGCAUGAAGGCGACGGACAGAGUCGGAUUAUAGAAUCCAACAACUAACAGCUAAUUACCUGUUGGACGGAUCUUUGAUUCUAUUCCUCCUCCCACUCAUCAUUUUCAAUAAAUGUUAUAAAUAUAUAUCUUUUGUCUUGCCCUUCAUUUGGAAUUUUUGAUAAUAUGGUAAUCUUUUAAUUAAUAGUUUAUUUUCGAAUCUUUUCCUUUUCCGGAUUUAAAGACGUUCCAAGUCAAUCGUUGAUGAGAUAUCACCACCGAUUGUUACUGAGAUUACUGCGCACCAUCGCUAGAAUCACAUACUAGCCGAAGGGACAAUAACAAUUUGAUGAUGUAGUUUUGUCUCGUGGUUUCAACUUAAACCAAGCCGACAAUUGUGCACGUAUACACAAAAUUUGAUGAUUUUCGUAAUGGAGUUAUUAUAUAUUUGUGUGUUGAUGACAUGUUUCUCUUUGGAAAGGAUCAAACACAAGUGGAAUGGUACUAAAUAAUUCUUGUCAUCAAAAUUUACCAUAAAGAUAUGAAGGACACAUGUGGUGUUCCUUGUCACAAUAUCGUGACAUUAAGAAAGUGUGUCAAAUUUCAUAAAUGAGAAGUGUGGGACAAUUGAGUCGAUAUACUAGUAAUCCUACCACUAACAUAAUUACGAAGAGUACUAGGAUAUAUUUUGUAUUCUUACUUGCGGGAGGUUAUAUUAUGGACUUUCAAGAAGCAAACUUGUAUCACAUGUAAAAUUUUAAUAGGCAUGGAUGCAGAAGAACAGUAGACACGUCAUCUAAACUUAAACUCACAUACUGAUCCUCCUCGUAGGCUGAAAACUUGGGACUGGCUAAUCUGUACGACCAACAAAACAUUACUUCAUCGUUUACACUGCUGCUUGCAUAAGGCAAAGCAAAAACAUUACUUCAUCGUUUAACCUUUCUGCCCAGUUCUACUCUUCUCUGACUAACACCAUGAACAAAAGAAGCCAAACACUGGCCUGCAAGUAACAGUAAAUCACAACCUCCCAUACUCCAGAACCCAGAGCCGAUUCAGCAGCAUUGCUCUGUAAUCUUCCUUUUCGUACUUCCCAGUUAGGAGGGCACUGCCGAAACACAACAAAGAUGCCGUCAAUCAGUCAGGCUGCGGGGUGUUCAAAUCAAACUUGAAAGCAAUUACAUACAAUUCAAGGAAGUUGUAGAAAACUUACUGUAUGUAGAUGUAUCAAUUUGCUCCGGCAGUUCUUUUAUGUCCACCUCAAACCUCUCCUGAACCUGAAACAGUAACCAUGUAAUUCAAUAAACCUGAUAAGUAACGACAACGAGCCUAAGGCAAAUGUAACAUCAGACACACUCAUCACCUGAUUAAGAACAUCUGAGUCGGAAGCUGAUGAUACAAAUGUAAUCGCAAGCCCCUUUGUGCCAAACCUACCAGCACGACCAACCUGCCAAGCAAUUGCCACAACCUCCAAGUUACACGACAAUUACAGGUCAAGGUCGGCCAGAAACAUUCACAGCUCACACAAUCAGAAUUACCCUGUGAAGAUAUGUGUCAGCUGAAUCAGGCAUGUCAUAGUUAAUAACAAUGUUGACCCGCUCUAUGUCUAUUCCCCUUCCAACCAGAUCAGUAGCAACAAGAAUCCUUUUAUGACCCUCUUUGAAACCCUUGUAGCGUGUCAGCCUACAAAUACCAUCCAGACAAGAUUUAGAUAAUAGAUUCUGAAAUCGAAUUUUAAAAACCCACAAGCCAAUCAAAACCCAACAAACAUGAAGCAAGAUGAAAUGUGGUACAAACCUUUCCUCCUGGGACAUUCCAGAGUGAAUGCAUAUUGAAGGGAAAUUACACUCGAUUAGCAACUUGUUCAGCUCAGCUGCACGGCUCACACUCUUGACAAAGAUAACAACUUGAUUGAAGUCCAGCGCAUCAAGAAGGUCGUUCAGCUUCCGGUUUUUCUCCAGCUCGGUCAAUUUGAUGUAGUGCUGUCAUUAAAACUAUGAGUACAGGAAAUCAAUCCAAUAAAAAAUCAAACAGAAUUCACAAACAAUUGAUGAUAUACCUGGACAAGUCCAUGAAGUGUCAGCUUGGCCUCAUCGUCAACAUAAAUUUCCAUCGGCUGAAAGCAACAAAUUUCACAAUAAAGCAUGUUAGGGUCGUUCUUCAAGCUUAAUGCAAUCCAAAAGGAAAGAAUGAUUGCAUCACUUGCGCCAGUUGAGAUCCCAGCCCAUCUGAUUGAUCUCCUUGCAGAUACAUUUUUAACUCACUCCCACCAUAGCUCUAUCUCUUAACCAGCAGUGCCCCCACAAUAUACAACCCCAAAAAAGGAAAAAGCGAAUAACGAAAAAGCUAAAUCAUUUUCCCCAUACAGCUUCACAAUACCAACCACUCGCACAACAUAGUCAUCUUAACAUCUUCCUUGGCCAGUAUUCAUCUCGCCAGCCCACCCAAUAACCUAGUUCCAGCAUAAAUUCCCCAAUCACUCUGAAUGAGAGGGACACAAAAACAAAAGGCGAGAUGGUGAAAACAAACACAGCUGAAAUUUCCAACAUCAUCCAACAACCUGACCCUCGUUGCACUCAUACGCCCUCCCAAAACCUUUCCAACUUAGUGCAAGGCUUCUGAUGGACAACCAGAUUCCAAAACUUUUGCAGAGUUCUCGAAUUAUUAAAAGGAUAAGACUUCUAAAUUCAAGGGGAACUGGUCAUAGGACAUUACAUCUUGCAUGAACUUCUUGCAUACUGGGCGGAUUUCUUUACUUAGUGUUGCAGAAAACAUCAUGACUUGCUUGUCAUGAGGGGUCAUCUUGAAUAUCUCCUGCACAUCUCUCCGCAUGUCUACAUGCCACAUUAUAGUAACAGUAAGAACUUGACUGGAAAAGUCAUCAAGAAGAAAUUGACAAGUAGUAUUAGGGUGUACAUACCAAGGGAUUCAAGCAUCUUGUCACAUUCAUCAAGAAUGAAAUGUCUAACAUUUUUCAGAGAAAGUUCCUUGUCUCGCGCCAAUGCCAGUAUUCUACCAGGUGUUCCAACAACAACGUGAGGGCAUUCAUUUUUCAGAAGAUCCCUGUGAGUUUUUAUGUUGACACCACCAUAAAAUACAGCAACCUUGGUAUCCGGCAAGUAGGUACUGAAUCUCUCGAACUCGUGGCAGAUCUGAAGAACAGAGGAAACCAUUAAGACAACUAUAAUAUUCAGAGCAACUGAAAUAAAAGAGUGAACUUUUUAGGUGUGGAAGGUACCUGGUAAGCAAGUUCUCUUGUGUGACAUAGAACAAGGGCAAUAACUUGCCCAGGAGUUGGCUCAAUUUGCUGGAGAGUAGACAGAACAAAGACAGCAGUCUUUCCCAUCCCAGACUUAGCUUGGCAGAUAACAUCCAUUCCCAAGAUGGCUUGGGGAAUACACUCGUGUUGAACUGAUGAAGAACGAAAGAAAAUUGGACCGAGGAACCCCUCAUAAGUAUACAUACCUUCGUGUCCUCUAACUGAAAGGAUACCAAACCAGAAUAUUGCUCCAAAACCAAGAUUAUGACAGUGAAUUAUUACCUGAAAAGCAUACAAGAAGUUACUUUGAGCUUUUAAUACCAACGAAGUAAUUAGUUGAAGAACCAACAUAAUUCUCAACGGAAACGAAAGAAGUACAUCAAGGCCACCGAAGACUAGAAACUAAAUGCUCAACUUCCACACACAUCAAUAACUCAUAAGAGACAAUAGGAGGAACUUCAACACACAAGCUACCCCUGGUCUCGUAAACAAAAUAGUAAAAUAUACGAGGAGAGCCAAGAAACAAAUCAGAAUUCAAACAAGGGUAAGAAAUUUACCUUCAGAAGGAUGCUCAAACCCAGAAUCUACAAUAGCCCGAAGUAGCUCUGGCUUCAAAAGGAAGUCUCUGAAUCCCGAACUGUGUAUCCCAACAUAUCCCCUGAAAAUAAAUAAUUUAAACAGCGUAUCUGAGAAAUCCCAAUCCAGCUGAAGAUAAUUAAAAUAUCAUACUCCAUGUAAGCAUAUGUAAGAUCUAUGCCGCAACAUUAGAGUCAAGCAGCUUCCUUUGCCAUAUGUUAACUAAAAUCUAAUGGAGUUAGUAAUAAGAUCAUAUCAGAUACGCCAUAAAAUGUUCAAUGGCAACUAUCUAGCAACAGGAUAGGGUAUAGAAACUUACUUCUUAGGGGCUUCGCCGUUGACUUUGGCAGUGAUAGAGUCGGGGGCUUUCUCCUCCUCUUCCUCGUAAUCGAGAAGCUCCUCCUCGUAAUCGUUGUCCCUUGUUUCUCCCAUGGUCAGUGAAGAACAAGUCGGGCCGACGCCGGCGGAGGAGAGAGGUGGUUACCUGAGAUCUGCGGAUGAAUGAGUACGGCGACUGUGUUGGAGGCGCGGCGGUGGAGGGGAAGAGGGUUUGUCGAUCAAAAUGCAAUAAAGGAACUCGGGGUUAAACCAAAGCUUUGAAGACCUCGAGACCUCAAAAUCGAACAAUUUAUUUGGAUAUGUUUCAAAAAUGAAGAAAGAGAUCUCAUCCUAACUUUCCAGGACUACCCCUCAUCAUUGCUUCAAUUUACGCUUCAGGCUACUAUUUUUCGACAAAACAGCCUCGGAAAGCCCAACCUAUGGCCUGAUUUCAAAAUUUGACACCAGUUAUAGAAAAUACAAAUCGUGGCACAAAAAUAAGUCAGCGUUUUAUCUAUUAAGUCAAAAUUGACGGAAAUUUGGUCGGCAUCCUUCGUGGCUGACGGCUCGAUGACGUAUCGAACGGUAUAGAAUCCUACUACUGAGUCAACAUCUAACGACAUGUCAUUUCCCAAUUCAUUGACUAUCCUACUGGACCAGACCCAUAUAACCCGACCGAACAUGAUAAUUGAACCCGACUCGAUAUAGUAGAUGAACCUUAUCUUCAAUCCGUUUUAACUCCUACCCACAUAACCUUAAAUCGAAACCUUUCUUCUAGAGAAAUCUGCUUUUUCUUCUUUCGAAUCGUUACUCUCUUCCAAACACUAUAGAUCUAAAAUGAUUUAUUUGUCGUUGCUAUAAUUUAUAUUUCUCAUAGAUUGUGCCAAAUUUUAAAAUUCGGCCAUAGGGCUUUCGGGGCUGUUUUGCCCUAUUUUUCAAUGUGGGCCGGAAAGUAGUUAACAUGUUUAGACCUAUUCUCACUUGCUCACUAAUACCUUUAUAUUGUUGAUGUCACUGGAUUUGGAUUUAUUGAUGUUGAGCGUGAGAAGAAAUUGGUGUCUCAAUUCGGUUUUUUGGUUUUAUUUCUUAGAAGAGAUGACAUUUGUGUUGUUCACAUGUUUGCUAGGUUAUCAAUUACUUUAGUUGUGAAUGUAACUAGUGAAGCCCCUCUUAAAUGGUUGAUUGUUAAUUUUGGUGAACACUUAUUUUAUUUUGUUGAUUAUCAGUAAGAAAGAUUUUUUUUUCUACCGUAAAAAACAAUCAUCUUUUUAAAUAAAGUCAGACUCGUAAUAUUAGUGAUCAAGAUACAUGAACCUAUCUAAAAAUGCAUGUUCGAGCUAAAAAGGAUUUGCAUGCCAAAUAGUUGGUGAUGCUAAGGUAAAAGAUCGAUGAAACUCAUGCAAGAUUGAAACUCUCAAAAUACAUCAACCAUAUGUCUGUAGAUGCUGAUGCAAUGGUAGGUAUUCUAGUUAAGUUCAUCAUAAUGUUAUUGUGGUAUAGUGGUAAAUAUUCUCGCUUAUCAUGUGGGUGACCUGGUUUGGAUCCCUGGCAACAAUGAUAAAUGUUUUGAAAAUAUUUCUUAACUGACUUACCAUUUUACGUGUCAAGAUGCGUUUCAUUUAUCAUCAAGGUUGUUGCAAUAUAGUGCUAGUCACACGGGUUGUUUCGGUUUGAUAUCCAACCAUGGCAACUAAUGAUUCCUUCAAAAAUACACCUAUAUUGCGGGUGGGAAUGCAAUUAUGUACUUUUCAUUUGCAAACCUAUGACCAAGCCUCUUGUAAUUUUGUAAAGUUGGCUGCAAUUGAUCGGGCACAAGCAGCAGCUUUGUUAUUUUGUCCGGCGCUAAGGAAGCAGAAGUUUGAGUCGUACAUGAAGGAAUCAAAGGAGUAGAGGAGUUGGGGAACUUGCAAGCCAUGUCUGAAACCUUUUGCCACUUACGCACUGACACUCACAAGUGAUAUUGUUGAUGUCACUGUAUUCCGAUUCACUGCUUCUUAGCGUAAUGAGAAAUUGGUGUCUCAAUCCGGUUCUUCGGUUUUAUUUUUUGACAGAGAUGCGAAUGGUGUUGCUCACAUGCUUGUUAGACUAUCAACUAUCUUAGCUGUGAAUGUAACUAGUGAGGUCCCUCUUAAAUGGUUGAUUAUCAAUUUGGGGAAUAUUUAUUUUAUUUUGUUGAUUAUCAAUAAGAAAGAAAUUUGCUUCUCUUAUGAAAAAUAAUUCUCCUUUAAGAUAAAGUCAAGACUUUUAAUAUUAGUAUUCAUGAUGCAUGUACCUAUUUGAAAAUGUAUAUUCGAGCCAAAAAGAAUUUACAUGUCAAAUAGUUGGUGAUGUUAAGAUAAAGGGCCGAUGAACAAGCUCAUGGGUUUCAAUGUUCAAUUGAAUAGUCUGGGACUCAGAUUGAAUGUCUCAAAAUGCAUCCACCAUUCUGUCUUUAGAUGCUAAUCCAAUGUGGUAUCCUAGUCAAGUUCAUCAUAAGGUCGUUAUAGUGUAAUGGUAAGUGUUCUUGCUUGUUACGUGUGUGACUCCGGUUUGAUCCCCGCAACGACGAUACAUAUUUUGAAAACAUUUAUAUUGCGGGUGGGAAUGCGAUUUUAUACUUUCGUUUGCAAAACCAUGACCAAGCAAGCCUAUUAUAAUUUUGUAAAGUUUGCUGUAAUUGAUCGGGCACAAGAAACAACCUUUUUAUCAGUUUUCCCAGUGUGAAGGAAGAAGAAGUUUGAGUCGUGCUGGAAGGAACCAAAUGGGUACAAGAGUUGGUACUCGCAGGCCGUGUUUGAAACCUAUUUUUAGUUGCGCAUCGACACUCACAAGUGAUAUGUUAAUGCACUAGGCUGAAUCGAGUAGAAAUCAAAAUAUCAUGAGCUAGAUAUAAAAAAAUGCGAUUACUGAUUAUUUUUUAAACAACUAUUUUGCGUGUCAAGAAUGCGAUUUUAUACUUUUCAUUUGCAUAUCCAUCUCAUGACCAAAAACCUAUUACAAUCGGUACAUUUGGUAUUUCAUUUUUUGCCACUAACAGCAUCUAGGUGGGGUGUGACCAUGGUUACCACUUAGUCACUUACCACAAUCGGAGGGCAAGUCUUCCUUGCACACUUCUGCCUUCUCUGGCAUGAUAAUUUCUCAACAAUCAUUGAAUGAGUGAGUCUGUACCUAGGAGUCGAACUCUGUACAUUCUCAUCAUCCUCCAUCCUUUUGGCAACUCAUAACGUCUUAUGAGAUUGAGUACUUGCAUGUCCCUGAUUCUCAUCACCUGCAAACUCUUCUUUCUGAUAAUCCCAUAGUUCUGUAAUUGCAUAUUGGGUGUGGGAAAAGAAACAUAACACUUCACACAAGUAUAAAACCAAAAGUUUCUGCACGAAACCUUGGAUAUAUAAUGUUUUCUGAAAUGAGAAGUUCAUAUUAUGAAUUGUCUAUCACAAUAAAGGAAAAAACAGAUUAAUCGAAAAAGACACCCUUUAAUCACUUGGAUCUGUGAUGUAGGAAUGAUCAUUGUAAACAAAACAAAACAUGUAAUACUUUCCCCCCAGCCAUUCCAUUAUCUUUGUUUACUCCACUACGUAACCAAAUCCCAAGAAUUGUUGCAACACAACAGUCAGCCAGCAAGCAACCUUCCAUCAGCAGUUUUCUUCCUCUUCUUCUUCUUCAGGAAACCUCAAAUGCUUCCCUUUAGGAGUUGGCAGUCCCUUCAAUCUCACAACACCAUCAUCUUCAGCAAGAACAAGCUCAUCAUCGCUAUUGUACUCAAACCUCUUGUGCUUUCCACUGAAUCCCACACUUAUUCUGCUAAUCCCUUCACACAGCUCAUCAAUGGACGAUCCCUCCUCCUCCUUGUACUCUUCUCCUUCUUCCUGGUUGUUGUAGCUGUAGUAAUUGCCGUCAUCAUAAACCUCUUCCCCUGCUUCUUCUUCAAUCACUGCAUAAUCAUCAUCAUCAUCACGGGUGCUUGCAUUCACCUGAAUGGACCAUAUGGAAGCGCAUUCAUCAUCAGUUACUUCUGAUGAUAUUGACUUCUCUUCUUUGCUACACGACUCAGUUGUGGAGUCGCAAGAUUCAGACUUCUCGGAAGAGAAAUCCAGCAGCAAUUGCCUGUUCACACUCUUCUGAGAUUCCAGUGUCUCAAGCUUCCUACCAUUAUACAUUUCACCUACCACAGCCUGCAGAAGUACAAAUUUUGUUCAGAAACGGAAACCAAAAGAGGUAAGACAAAGUAACAAAAGAAAAUUAACUAACUAAUUAACUAACUAACCUCGCAAAUCUUAAGCUGCUCUUGAAUAACAGGCAAAGGAGAGAUCAUCAUCAUGCUAGUGGAUGAGUUGAUGUUGUUGUCAUCAGUCAGAUCAUCAAGAAGCAUUGGAGUAUUAGCAGGAGUCGGUGCAAGGAGGCCCAUGGGAGAAGAGUUGAGGAAGAGCCCCUGAAGUUUGAGGAAAGGACGAUUCUCCAGGGGAAUCUUUGACAACUCGGCUUCUUCCUCUACACGCUGCAGCAGAGUCUUCACUUGACCCCUCAGUAGAGCUUCUCCAGACCCAGGAGUCUUGAUGUUUCUGUUCUUGAUUUUACUGAUUGUUUUCUUGGUGUUGGCCGAGGACGAUGGAGUCUCCAAUAUCCCCAUUGCGAGCCCAGCGAUGGGAGAAUCAUUUGUUAUGUCAACGAGCGCUGACCGAUCUUGGUGCUGCUUGCCGCCGCUGUUUUUCCCCAAAUCUUCAAUCUUCCCUGAAAGAUUUUAAAACAAAAAAUUCAGAAACCGUCAGUGAGGAAUUCUAUCAAACAGUUGGCGGGCGAUAUUCAGUCAUCACAAAAGAUCCAGCCUUUGAUUUGAAUAAUUACGAGAUAUUGGGUUGUUGUUGAGCGAAGCAGCUCGAGACUGAGAUCUUGUGACUCGUUUGGUUGAGGAAGGUGUCUCCAUUGAUGGUGAACUGCUACGAAGGACGAGAGCCGGGGGAAGGAUGGAUGGAUCAAUCGAUACUUGAGAAAAGAGAGAGGGAGAGAGGGAUCAGGAGACAGAGAGCGAGAGAUAGAAGCGAAAUUAGGAAAAGGAAAAUGAUCAGAGAAAGAUGUUGAUUAGGGUAUUAUAUAAAUUCAAAUUUUGUGUUGAAAAUGACGGGGGGUUUCAAACGGUAAUAUGACCGUUAGUGACAGGCAAUGCGGCGGCGCGCAAUUGUAAUACUAGCCGUUGUGGGAUUUUCUCACUCACACUCUCUCUCUCUCUGUUUCUACUUUCCGGUUAACUCUUUUCGUUAAUUUUCUGAUUUCUCUAUCUUCCGUUUCCUUUUCAGGGUAUUUUAUUUUUAAAGAUUUUGAGAAAUUACAUCUUAAUUUUUAAUGUAAAUGAAAAGUAAUUUGGAGAUAUUGAGUUUUAAUUUAAUAUAUUUUAUAAAUAAACAUUAAUAUAUUAUUGAUUUCAUUUUUAAAUCUUAUUGCUUUCAUUUCUAAAUUUUUUAUUGAUUGAGAAGUCCAUUCCGACAAACAAAUAUUGAUUUGAAAGUGUAUAUUUUUUUAGGGAUAGUUAGAGUUGUUAAGAAAAAAUUAAUUUGAUUUAUUUAAAGUUCACAACAAAUAUUCAGUGAACGGUUGGUGAGUCUUUGAUGACCGGCCUCCAAUAAUUCAUCAACUUUUUCAAUGAAUUUAUAACGACCUUCCUUUUAAACCUCUGAUGUCAUUUUUUUGAAAGAAAAAAUGAUUAAUUACGAAAAGUCUCUUAUGAAAAUUUUUUAUUGAUUGAGAAGUCCAUUCCGACAAACAAAUAUUGAUUUGAAAGUGUAUAUUUUUUUAGGGAUAGUUAGAGUUGUUAAGAAAAAAUUAAUUUGAUUUAUUUAAAGUUCACAACAAAUAUUCAGUGAACGGUUGGUGAGUCUUUGAUGACCGGCCUCCAAUAAUUCAUCAACUUUUUCAAAGAAUUUAUAACGACCUUCAAAAUACUAUACACAAUUUAUUUUAUUUUACCCGUUUUGGUUUAGCAUAGUAAUCAUAACAAUAGUGAACAGUAUCAUUCGAAUUUCUUAUGAUUCGUAAAUUUAUAUCAUCACAUUAAGAUCUUGAAAGAUUUACCAGUUAAUGUGUCUGAAGCCGCGAUAAUACGAGGGCUUCUCGUUUUUUAGGAUUUCGCGUAAAAGCACAUUAAUUAGGAUGUACAAUACUUAUGACUUAACUAUGUCUUUCUUAUAAAAAUUUUCAAACAGAUUGUAUUUUAAUUCAUUCAACUUUCGGCCAACCGAUCAGGUACUAAUUUCUAAAAUGAUUAGAAAAAUCGGCCAUAUGAAAUAAAUCUUGUAAAUUUUUCAUUAACAUUCGAAUUAUAAAAACUAGUUUUGGGCCAUUAGCCCAAUUGUCAUAUGAUUGAACACAUUAGCUGGCUACCCUUCUUCUUGAAUCUUGAUAUAUGCGACUGCUACUGUUCAAGUAAAUCAACCCCUGCUGCCGCUCUUUUGCUCCGGUUCGGAAGCCUCAACGAGAAAGGAAUCGUAUGGGAAAAACUGCAUCUAUAUUAUUGCAAAAGACAAUGUCAUUUGCUCCAUUGUGCAUAUCAUACAGAGAACAGACGAGAAAGACGAAGAAAAAAGAAGACGGAACAUGCAGAGAACAGCACGUACAGCAGCAAUUGUUAUUAAUUACAAGUACUGCAAUAGUAAUAUAUAGAUUGAAAACAAACGUAAUGAAAGAGCGAACAAUAAUAAAUCGACAAAGAGAAGAGAGAACCAAAUCAAAUGGUGUUGGCUCGAUCGCCGAGUAACGUAAUUAUGAGAUGAGAUUAAUUCUUCAAGGGCAUUUGGGGAGUAGGUAGCGGGUGGUGAGGUUGGCAUAGCAAGGACACAAGUUGUGGUUCCCAGAUGUGCCAGGUGGGACGCACCCGCACUUUGCGCAGCAGCUCCCGCAUGCCCUUUUGCACAGAUUUGGCCUCUUCGUCUUCCCGCAUCUCACCCCACACGCCGCUCCACAAUCUGCCCAUGCACCCCAUACAUUAAUAGCUUAUAAGAAGAAGAAGAAGAAUAUAUGUGAAAGUGUGUUGGCGUUAGAUGGCAGUCGGAUGAAUGUAGUACGUAGUGAUCAGUGAUAUUAUGUACGUACGCACCAAUAUUAGCAGGCUGAGGUGCUGGACUAGUAGUAUAACCAGUGGCAACCUCUAGAAAGUCGAACUGAUGAUCAGCAGCUUCUGCGAUUUGCUGCAGAAGCACCACGGACAGGAUGAUGAUGAGCACCACACAGCUUCUAGCUUUGGAGAAUGCCAUUACUUGAACUGUAAAUAGUUAGUUGCAGGUCUGGCUGAUGAGCUCGAGCAGAUGAAGUAGCCUGGAGUGGUGGUGGUGGGGGUAUUUAUAUGAAUAUUAUAUAUGAGGAGAAAGGAAAAGGAGAGAACAAUCCAGAAAGGUAAUGGUUGGUCUUCACCAUCGAUUAAUAUUAUGCAUGCCAGCUCUACACCGACAUGUAUGGGGAUUAAACCAUACUAUUAUAUAUCUCUACUUAUUAAUUUGGCAGUCGAUCGAGAUACAACUCAAGCCCUGCACAUGCAUAAUACUUCAACAACAAGACUGACUGACUGAAUUUCAGUUGCGUUCCUCCAGGCAGUAGGGAUGAGUUGUGUGCAUUAUAAUAAUUUAUUACUUGGAACAACUAACUAAAUAUUACAUUAAAAUAAGGUUAAAAAAACCUAGAAUGACAUAAAUAUACACAACUAAUUAUUCGACUGACAUGACCUAUCUUUUAUGUUAAAUUUUGAAUGAUUAUAUUUGAGUCUUAUAUUUAGUAUUUUUAAUUUUUUACAAAGUGUUUGGCUCCAAUAGUACAUAAUUUUUCAUUUUAAUUUAAUAAUUUGAUUAUUAUUUUUAUAUAGAUAUAAUUAAUUAAGGUGAGAACUUCGGUACUUUCAAAAUACUAAGUACUCCCACUUAAUUGAACUCAUCUGGACCACUUAAUUUUUAGAAGUCAUCUAAACGAGGAAUAAUUAAUUAAUUAAUUUAAAGUUUAAACAACGACAUAGUCACUCUUUUGAAUUUCAAUCAUCAUAAAGUAUUUAUUUAUUUUUAUCUUUUGAUAUAUUGAGAAACGGUCCAGGUAAAUUCACCUCUCAUCAUCCUAAUUAACAUGAACAAUGCCUAUACGAAUAAAUAUUUUUUUAUAAACCGGAUUUAUUUAAUCAGUUAGGCUAACUUCAUUCAGUGAUUCGUUUUAAUAUUCAUGUCUCAUAUUGGCUUUAUAACAUAUAAGCUCAAUUCUAUUUAAUUUGAUGUUGAUUGGAAUGAAAUAAAGUGAUUAUUUUAUUACUUAAAUUUAUAAAUUAAUUAAUUAUUGAUCGUUGAGAUCGUUUUAAAAAGGCCAAAUGGGUGACCUUUUUAGCAACACUGAAACUGAGCCCAUGUGAAUGACCAUCAUUCAUUGUUUCCUCCGAUAGGAAUAUAAUAUCCGACUCCGGAUCUCCAAGUUCUGCUUCCACAAAGUGCAGUGAAGAAGUUGGAAAGACGGGUCAAGUGGGAAAUAAUGGGCUUCCAUACCUUAAGGCCCAAUUUCUUAUCUACAACACAACCGAUCAACAAGGUUUGCCACAACGGUAAAUCCUCGGACAAACAUCAAAAGAAAAGGCCACUACCAAGCAAUGACUCGACCGAGCGCGACUAGGCGACGGCAGUGCUGUCGACGGCUGGGGUAUGAUGUUGUUGGAUUCUUUGACGACCCUGGGAUGAGCUCCGGCGAUAAUGGAAGUCCGGUGACCGGAAGAAGAAGGGAGGUGAAGAGAGAAUUGAGAGAAAAGUAGGGAGGAGACAAUAGUCUGUAAUUCAUUAAUUGUCUGGGAACAGUCCUUUUCCCCUUUAACUGAAGCUACAGUGCUAAUAGACAAAUUUAAGGGAAAUUACAAAACCUCACCCCUAGCUCCGCCACUGAUUGGGACGGCUGACGUCUAGGAUUGGUGCCUUUAUGGUUAGACUCUAAAAAAUUUGAAAUAAUUUAUCUUUAAAAACUAGUUAAUAAAAUUGCCUAUUAAUUUUAUAUUUAGUAAUGUGAUAUUUAAUUGGGCAUAUAACAAAAUUUGAUUGAUUAAUACGAGAAAAAAUAUAUAUUUAUGAAUGAUGUGAAUAAUUAACUAUAUGAGUGAAUUAAAAUAAAUAUUCAUACAUAAUUAAUAAUUUACAUAUAAAAAUGUAGCAUUUGUAAUGAUUUUGACAUGCACUUCUCCUCUUUGGUUUUACCCAACAGACUGUACAAAUUACACCACUACAUAUACAACAAGACAACUUAGUUUACCAGUAAAUGAAAUUUAAAUUAUAUUGACAAAUUUUGCUUCCGAAAAUCUAAAAAGAAAACUAAUUUAACAAGCUAAUUAAAAACGCAAAUUUUAGGAAUAAAUUCAAGUGAAUAAUGAGAAGCAAAAUCAAUGAAUAUCAGCCAUCUCCAACAUUUCACAUGACAUGCAUCACGGCGUUAACCUCGUCCUCCUCCUCGUGGUCGCCGUCCGUUAUCGCCGUCUUCUUGAUGAACUCUAUGCAAUCCGCGACUGCUUCGCUGUGGUAAGGAUCAGCCAGGUACCCGUGGUACGACGCCCUUCCGACCGUCCGAUGACGAUCUGAAGAAGAAGAAGUAUCCGCAGAGAUCAUCAUGAGGCGGAAGACAGAUUCCCUCAAACGGUGGAGGAGGGACGACAUAGGAUGAUGAUGAGAGACGCGGUGGGUUCUCAGCCUCGGAAUACACAUGCUACUGCUCUUCAUGAGACUCUGUGAUCUUCGAUCGACUUGCUUGCUACUAAUUAAUUUCAGGAAUUUGGCUCUACAAAUCGUUGGUAUUGAUGGAGGACAAGUAUAUAUGAUUGAGCUAGUUCAAAUUAUUGCAUAUGUAGGAGGGAAUCUAAUAGCAACAGACAAAGUUUCCAUUUUUUAUUAAAUUAAAAUGAUGGACUGGCCAGCUUACGUACGUAGUAGUAGCCUCAAAGUGGUCGGCGUUACCUGCCUCCCGCCGUUGACCUAGCCCAUCGUCAUGUGCCUCUCUAGUCCCUACGAACUAAAGAUGGAAUUUCACAAGGUCUAGUAUGGAAAGAUGAUUUGACGAUAUGGUUAUUUUGAUGGAAAGCAAUUUUUUCGGUAGACCUGUCUUUGAGGUUCAAAAGUUCAAUUCCAUACCAAAGUGUAAAGUUAUAAACAAGUUCAAUAUUUAAUCACGUUGCGGGGAUAGCUCAGUUGGGAGAGCGUCAGACUGAAGAUCUGAAGGUCGCGUGUUCGAUCCACGCUCACCGCAUGAAUUUUUUGUUUUUUUUAACCUUUGAUCGACCCGCAGCCAAAACGACACAACAGUUUGUGUUGCAAGUCCAUCUCCGUUACUUGCUGGCAAUCCAUGUGUAAUCCUAGUGAGCGGCUAGGAUGAUACUAACGCAAGUUCACGCGGAUCGUCAAUUUUCCCCGCUGACAGAAAGUUGAAAAACUUGAUCGAACGGCCAUCUCUCGAUCUAAAAUUUUGUGGCGCCAGUCAGCGAAUUAUUUUCAACAUUUUCCCCGGACGAAAAAUUGACCGCCAGAAGCCAACACCGACGAAUUUCGAAAAACUUCCCCCACCUAUAUAAUUCACCCCUCUGCGCCUCCGAUUCGUUCAUUCUUACUUCCAUUCUGCAAUAUUUGAUUUGGUACAUCUGCAAUUUAUUCGAGUUGUUAAGAGAAUCGAUUUCUGAACAAAAAUGUCAGGAAGAGGCAAGGGAGGAAAGGGUCUUGGAAAGGGAGGAGCCAAGAGGCACAGGAAGGUCUUGCGAGAUAACAUCCAGGGCAUCACCAAGCCCGCCAUCCGAAGGCUCGCCCGCAGAGGUGGGGUCAAACGUAUCAGUGGCCUCAUCUACGAGGAAACCAGAGGCGUCCUCAAGAUCUUCCUCGAGAACGUGAUUCGCGAUGCCGUCACCUACACCGAGCAUGCUCGCAGGAAGACCGUCACCGCCAUGGAUGUCGUCUACGCUUUGAAGAGGCAAGGCCGUACCCUCUACGGUUUCGGUGGUUGAGUGCGCCCUUCUUGUAAUAGUCUACGCUCUUCUUUCAAUUUCCAGUUGAUGGUUUUAGUCUUCUAGUGUUACUAUCCUUGAUUCCGUGUAAUGAAAGUCGUUUGUGUUUGUGAACAUCUAAUUCAAUCAAUGUUUACUUUUGCACGCAAGGUGUUCGAUAUAUUGCGCGAACCAAGUAAUGAAACCGAUUUUGAAAUGGUAGAUCUUGUUGAUUAAGUAAAGAUGAUUAAUUAGAUUUGUAUAAACAAUCAUCUGGGUUCUGCUUUGGUAUACACUUAUUUUUUAAAGAUUGAGAUGUCAAAAAAUGUCCUACACUUCUCCAGUUGUUCCGGGAAGAGCUAUUUCUAGGGUUCUAACUAUGCAAACGACUGAGCAACGGGGCCGGUGCUUAGCAAGCCAGAGAGGAGGCCGACGAUGAAUGCAGAGUUGUAAGUUGUAGGUUCAGUUUGCAUAGUGUUUCUUCUGUCGUCGUUGAAAGUUUCGUUCUUGGAUGGUCCACCAACUACAGCUCCAAGAGCUACGUUUGGAUUUGGGGUAACGGAAUCCAGCCACUUGAAUCCGUCUCUACACCCAGUUCUGGAACCGACUGGGAUUGAUGAUCCUCUGUGGUGGACGUAGCGUGGGUAAUCAAGUCCGUAGCCAACUAGAUAGCUCAUGUCCAUUGGAUUCUUUCCCAGUAUAUAAUCUGCCUGCAAAAGUUGUGUUCCAGCAGCAGCAGGUAAAUUAGGCUUCUGCACCACAAAUUUCAGAAGAAUGAAACUCAAUAGAAUCCCUGCUUACUUGUGACAUGGCGAAGUCUCGAAGAUCCUUGGAACUGUAAGUUGUUCCGUCACAGUAGAGAGUUUGGACUUGAGAUGUGGCCAUGUAAUCACUGAAGAGAACUGCUAAGAAUGCAGAUGCCAUAGAGUAUUGCAGAGGGUUCCACUCUUGCACCCAUAUCAACCCGCCUGCAAAUUAACCAAACAUCCCGAUUUAAGUAGGGUUGUUCAUACUGAGUCGAACUGAAUUUCAAUUUCGUUACGCACAAGAUUGAUUCGUUAUUUUAGUUGAGUUAUAAAAUUUUAGUUCCUAUAGAGCUUGAACCCGGUUCGUUAACUACCCUUGACGAGCUAAAUUCGAGCUCCACUCGAAUGUGUCUCAUUCAAACCCCGAACGAAAUCAAUUUGUGCUGAAUUUGAAACAUGUACAUUAAAAGAACAUCAACGAAUCAAACUAAAAAAACAAAUUAUCCUAAAAUUUAUAAGUUUUACCUACUUGCAUUUUCAUUAACACAAUCAUAAAUCACAUAUGAUUUAUUAUAUAUGGUAUUAGAGGCAACGUAAAACACACAUAUCACAUUGAUCAGUCUACUAACGAGCCAUAUAUUUGAAUUAGUAUUCAUACCGGCUCGUGAGUCUGUUGAAUACAACCUACCACAUCUCGAAUUUGGCUCAUUAAAAAUCUUUUUUCCAACCAAACGCUAAGCUGGUCGUGAACAGUUUGGCUCGCCUGUGUAAAAAACCAUAACAAGUACAAAAUCCAAUCAUACAUACCAGAUGUUCUGCUAGCUGUGGCGGAAGGUGAAUCAGGAAACAGUUGGCACAUGGCGGCCUGAGCCAUUCUGGUAUACAUCUGAACCUUUACAUUCUCAUCAGCAGUCAUUCCACCAUUUUCCCCACCUCCCAAAAGGUUCAAUCUAGAAAUCAAAACCUGAGUUCCAGCAUGCUUAUCAUCCCAACUGAACCAAGAGGGAUCGGCCCAGUUACCAAAAGCAUCUCCAUUGACGACAGUGACGUAUUUCAAGUAGGAAGGGUCUCUGGUUGCGUAGUAAAGCCACGAGGCGGCCCAGAGGAGUUCGUCUCCGUACCCAGAGGAGUUGUAGUACUUGCCCACUUGUGGAAUGCUGACGCUGUAUAAGCCUCUGUAGAGGUCUGCAAAGGUGAAAAGCUCCUCUGCGUUUGCCCGCAGGAGAUCGGAGUAGUGAGGGUCUAGCUGCUUGAAGACGAGUGAUGCCGAUGCCAUGGCGGCUGCUGCUUCUGCUACCACGUCGGAUCCUGGGUAGGAUGCGUUUACUUGAGUUAGUGGGCGCUUCUCGUUUCCCAUCCUCUCUGGCUUUUCCCAGCAUUCAUGGUCGAUUCCCGGAUCCCCCACCUUCAAAACAAACAAAAACGAAGUGUGUGAGUCUCCGUAUCAUCCACGUUAGAUGGGUUAGUGAGUAAUAAUAAAAUCAAAUUUUGUACACCACUUCACAAUUUGAAUUAAUGAAAUAUAAUAGUUUUUCGUAUGAUAUGAUAUUAAAACUUUCGAAAAUUGAAAGGAUUCCAUUUGGAUUCCCAGCAGUCUCAAUCAGUGCACACAUGGACAGAAUCAAAAUUGAAACAUGACGGAUUUAAAUUGGAAAUUUAUAUAUCGAGUAAUAAAUUCAUUUUCUAAAUCUAAUACUAAGAUAAAAAUGUACAGCAUAAAUACUCGUUUGUACCUGUAUCAAUUGAAACAAAUUUGAAUGCGCCGUCAAUUGUUUUUUUCCCUUUAAUUUGGAUAUUUUGAAUUUAAUUUUGCGGUUACUAACAAAUAAAUAGUCAAAUCCAUUAGUCAAAUUACACAACCAUCGAUUUUUUUAUAAAAAUAGUGCUCAUCGGGGUUAGAGAAUUAUAAAGUCAGGACUCUUCCAGACUACUUAUAAUUCCGACACCAUCAAAUAUUGAGCCGAUUUGAAAAAAUACACUAAACUAGAUUAGAAAAAAUCAGAAUGUAUACAUGAUAUAGUGUUCUGGACCGAAAUUGGACUAGCCAGGAUUUACUUGGAACUCCCUCAUUAUCCGCCCCUUCAUGACUCUCAAUGACUCCUUCUAGUUCUGACACAGUCAAACAUUGAGCUGGAUUCAAGAAAAUUACAAAUAUAUACACAAUUUUAAUGUUCAGACCAAAAUUUGGGUGAACCCGAACUCACCUCCGCUCACCAUAUCUCUUCCCCGGGGGCGGAUACAGGGGGAGCCCGGGGGAGUCACGUCUAAUUUAUGUAUAUAUUUACGAUUAUUUCGAGUUUGACUCAGGACAACUUUAGAUCCAGCUCAGUGUUUUGCUAUUCCGGCUCAAUACUCGAUACAUAUUAAUGAUCAUUUCGACUCUGUAUUUGCAUAUACUAUUACUUGGUUAGAAAAAUUCACCGGUGGCACAUUCAGUCUUUAAUUAUAACUUGUUUUAUCUAAAAAUCGCACAAUAUAUUGAUUAUGUAUUUUUAUAUUUUAACCUAAUAUUAGGUUUUUACAAAAAAACUUAAAUUAGUUAUUCAAUACCUAAAUUUUGGUUGAAAUCCGAUUUAAUGCAUGUUUCGAUAUAAAUCCGCCAUAACUUCCCCUACGUCCACAUAACUCCAAACGAAGGUUGCAAACUCGCAGAUUGUUUCAGAGCUAGCUCUGACAAGAUGAUCAAAUUAAAGGGGGAGUUUACCUGAACAUAGAACUCGUUGGGGGAAGGGUGGGCGUUGAUGAGGAAGUCAGUGAUCCAUCUGAGAGAUUGUUGAGCAUGAACAAGUUGGUCAACGGAUGCCAUCCUUUGACCGUACUCGAGAAUGGACCAGGACAAUAGGGUGGCCGUGAAAGCCAUCGGAAACCCGAAUUUGACAUUGUCGCCGGCGUCGUAUAGCCCUUUCGAUAAGUCCAAGUUCCUCUCGCUUCCGUCUCGCAAAGCCGAGUCACCUCUCCAAGGGAUUCUGUUUCCCGACGUUGUUAUCUUACCAGCUGCACCAACAAACAAACAAAAUUAAACACUCGGACUCUCUUGAUAAAUGCACAUGUAGGAUCAUUAUUUGCUUAGUUACCAUAUAAAAAUCAAUCUAAAUCAUUUCUCGUCAAUUUGCGUAGGAUUAUUUACGAAUCGAUUUUUUUAUAAACGAACUGAAUUUUAUUAUGCUCAAUCUUGACUGAUUAUUUUUUAGGCGAGCUCGAGAUUGAUCUAGAAAGUUUUAAUUUAUGUCGAGCUCGAGUACCUUCGAGCAUUAUCGUUAAUUAAUCUUAAGUAUCUAAAUUAGAGCUCAACUCAAACUUUACUCUUUAAAACCUCUAAUAACUCUAAUUUGAACUGAAUUUAAAGGUUGCAACACUAUAAAACAUCGAUUGGUCAAUAGUACAAGAAAUAGUUAGCCUCAAAUUUAUAAAUUUCUACUUUUCCAAUGAAAUAGUUAAACAUAAAUAAUGUAUCAUUUAAUGUUCAUUAGUACAGUUAUAAUACUUAAGAUUUAUAUAUGGUAUAUAAUAUAGGGAAACACGUUGCAUCAUUGAGUCUAUUAAUGAGUCAUAUAAUCAAACUAGCAUUUGAGUUGGCUAUCGAGGUCAAACUCGAGCUUGAACCAUCUCUCGAGCCUAUAUAUAGAGUUGAACAUACCAUGUCUCAAGUUUAACUCAUUUUUAACUUAAGUUUUUUUAGUUGAACACCGAGAUACAUGUGAGCGGCUUGACUCAUCAAUAACCCUAAACACGAUUUAUUGAAAUGUAGUAGUUCUCAACAUAAUAUCAGAGUCUUUAAUGACCUAAAGGUCUCAAUUUCGAAUCCUGUUAUACCUCAAUCUCUACACAUGACUUUAAAUUUGCGCAAAUCUCACCUCUGCAGAAAACUUCCGUUUGAAGGAGAAUAUUAAUAUAACAACCAAUCUAAAGAACUCUCUUAACCAUUCGGACUAUAUGAGUAAUUACGUACACUUCUGGACGUCGAAAAACUGGACGGCAACACUCAGAGCAUCGGCGUAGUUGUCGAGGAUAGGUCCGGAAGCGAGGCCGGGGUGUUUGUUGUGGCGGCGGAAGUGGUGACGGAGGGUGAUGAGAGUGUAGAUGCCUAAUGAUACAACCAGAACGGCAAGACAGGUAGCUAAGAAACACCAUCCCCAGAACUCGUUCUUCCUCACCUCGACGUUCUUUGUCACUGCUUCGACUUCCUUCUGUGGAGUCUUUGGAGGCUUCAGCUUCUUGAUCACAAAUUCCAUCGAUUUCAUUAUGUGCUUUUCCGCGACAAUUCCGAUGAACGGCGGGAUCGACGUCGGAUACAGAUAGAAGAAGUUCCUUUUGCUACUGCUGAUGCAGAGUUAUAAAUAUUCCUUUGUAAGAUAGGUGGAUUGGGACAUGACGUGGAUGUUGAGGGUUAGAAAGCCGGUUGACAAAGUCGGCUGCAGGCUUCGCUCAUUCCACUUUGUUGCUUGGUGCUUAGCCGGAGAAGGACUGACUCUGACUCAUACACGGUGGCUGUGUUUGGAUGUUUUUAAGUUCAAACCAUUCGGAUCAUGACUGUGAUUGCUUGUCUAGUAUGAAUCAAGGGGAAUAAUUUAUUGUUUGAUAUAAAAAAAAUCUUUGAUCUUGCAAAUCAAAUGAUUCUUACGGCUGUAUGAGUCCAAAUUAUGUAAAUUAUAAAAUGCCGAUGGAAUUUAAUCCCAGUCACGGACAAACAAAACACUGGUUAGUCUCUUUAGUUUCUAUCUAUUUCAUCACUGUUGCUCUGUGAAAAACUAAAGGUUAUGGGAUGAUGUGUCUGUACUGUUGUUUUCAGCUGAAGAUUCCGCCGCCUACCCUGCUAUCCUGCCACUUGUACACUCUGUCUCACCGCCGAUCCAACGUCGUGUUGCUUAUCAACGUCCUCCGCAUUACCAUAUCUUCCAUGCCAGAUUUCUGCUUGCAUUCAAAUGCUCCGUCAGCAGACUUUAUUUUUGCUCCAAGGAAUCUAACAGAGGAAGAGAUUGUUACAGCAUGCAGUUUGAAAUCAAACAUGAAACUUUCAAACACCCAUCUCAGUUGUUAGAUCCAGCUCUGACGAUUUGACUGAUCCGAUGGUAUUACAGCUUUAACUAAGUGAUUAGGUUAGUUAAUUAAUAAGGCAAUUUAAUUAUUUUUUGAUUUCACCACCUCCGGCAACAUUUCGACCACGUCCCAAGGACUUAUUUAGUUAUAAAGGUUUGUAACUAGUUACACAAAUUAAUAACUAGUUAUAUUCUUCUUAGCACCUGAAGGAAGCUUCACCCUGUAAUCAAGAGAUGCUUAUCUAAACUUAGCAUCCAUUCUAACCUACCUGUGUUGGUUCCGGCAGCGACGGCGACUCGAGAGUUUUAAGAUGGUGGUGCAGGCUUAGCGGAUAUUUUUAUAUGUUACAGCAAGCCCUAGCUCCGCUAGAGUAUUCCCGGGGGCCCGAAUUUUGAAUCGGGCCUGAAUAAUAGGCCCAGGAAAAUCAGUCCGGGUGUGUUGAUGUGGCGUCUUAUUAUUGGUUGUGAUUACAACUGGAUCAAACCGAAUUAGAUCCAUUGAUGCAAAGUGUAGUGCAGUCGUCACCGAUAAAGAGGUGUUAUCGAGAGAGUAGGAACGAGGCGGAGAGGGGAAGAAGAUCGAUUUUACAGCUUUAACGGCGAAAAUAGAUUCCGAUCGGAAGCGCAAGAAGGAUUCGAUCUCUACGGAGGAUCGAAGAGCGAAGGAGAAAGAGAAGGAAAGAGAGCGGGAGAAGAGCAAGAAGAGAUCGAAGCCAAUGGCGUCGGGGAAUCAGGUGAGGGCUUCCCACAUACUGAUAAAGCACGAGGGAUCCCGCAGGAAAGCUUCGUGGAAGGACCCGGAAGGCCGUGUCAUCAUGAACACCACCAAAGAGAGCGCCAUCGCUACCCUCAAACAGUUCCGCGAGGAUAUCCUCUCUGGGAAGGCUAAGUUCGACGACGUUGCAGCUCGCCACUCUGAUUGCAGCUCUGCCAAGCGCGGCGGGGAUCUCGGUCAGUAAUUUUUUGCUUCUCGAUUUCGUUUCUUUAAUCUUGCUUUCAACUGUCUUGGCAUGGUACUUCAUGGUGGGUAUUAAUACCGGAUCUCCUUGGAUUUUGAUUCUUUUCAAUAGAUCGUAGAAUUUUGUAGCUAGCUAUAGUGCUAUACUGAAUUUCUAUUUCCAAGGUUUUGGGUAAGGAUUUGCAUAGAAGGGAAGAAAUUGAAAUCAAAAUCCUGCAUUCCCUUAGUUUUAUCUUAAACAAACUAAAAUGAACUCACAAGUUUGGUAAGCAAGGCUAUUAGUUGCCUGCUUUAUGUUUUUAUGGGAGAAAGAUUUGCCCUCCAUGUCUGAGAUUAUGGUUAGAGACUUAGGGUUAAGGCCGUUUUAUGAGUUCGUUGUCAAGAUUCAAACUUUAACUGCCUCAACAGAAGGAAUGUCAAAAUCCAGGCAUGUGGAAAAACCUUGUCUUCUUUUCUAAGCUUCUAAAAUGAUUAAAGGUAUCUGCUUCAUGAGCUUUCUGAUGCAUGCUGUGAUCCCUUAAGGAUUGAGAUGAAAGAAGUUAGGAACAAACAAAAUGCGUGGUUGUCCUCUUUGUGAGAUACCUUGUAGUUCAGUUCAAUUGUGCUCGAAGCAUGUGCUUUGCCAUUGAUGCUCUGUGUAACAAUUAGGCGAUCCUCCUAGUUCUGGCAUUAGAUUUUUCUGUAAACUCUUAUUAUAAACACAAUUCUGAAUUGAUAAAGUUGCAGUCAUCUGAUCUUUCUGUAUUGCUAAAUGUUGUACAGGUCCAUUUGGACGUGGGCAGAUGCAAAAGCCUUUUGAAGAUGCAACAUUUGCCCUGAAAGUUGGCGACAUAAGCGACAUAGUGGACACCGACAGUGGUGUUCACAUCAUACUCAGAACUGCUUAGGCGUCAACCAGCGAAAAAUCUUGAGCUAUAUCUGAAGAUGGUGAAUGCAGCAGGCAUACAUCUUGGACCCCGUUCUGUGAGCGAUCCGGUUUUACUUUCGCGUAUGCAACCUUUGGUUUGGAUUUCGAUAAUGAGACGCCUGAUUUGAUUAUUUCACAGUACUGGUACAUGAGUGUUGUUUGUAUUCCUUCGAGUAAGGAUGUUUCCUGCUGCUUGGGAGUGUGUUGUUAUGUGCCGAGAUAUGGAUAAUGGUUGGGAUUUGGGAUUGUUCCAGUCCUCAGCAAUUACACACACACAGUCGUAUGUGCCAGUUAUCACACGAUUUAAAUUUUGAUUAAGGUUUGAUUAAGUUCUUACCUCAGUCGAUUACUCAAAGCAAACCAAUGUCGGACGGUACGAUUUGGAGUCGAAGUUGGGUAAUGAAACUAAAAGAAGUAUAUAAUUAUGGUUAGCGACGGUUUAAACGGUAACAAGGGCUUGCUACUGUGAGCUGUGACUAACAACUUCAAUUAUGGUCUAAACUUUAGUCGCAGUGUUUGCGCAAACCGUGACAAUGGGUGGUUACGGGUUAAGCCUUGACAAAGGGUGUUCUCGGCUAUUUAACGUCGUGGAAGAGGCGAAACAAAAUCAACUAACUCUGAUGCGGUGAUGCUGAUGCAAUAGGGAUAACCAUUUACAUGUACUGAAUGAAGGUCACCUAAAUAACCCUUAGAUCGUCAGUGCAGUGUGCAACUUUGGUGGAAGAACUCUUCAGUGAAACUGAAGCUGGACAUCUGAUUCUUCUUCUGUAAAUUAAAAAUAUUUCAGCUGGAAAGCAGCAGCAAGAGAAACAAACACAUUCCCUUUCCGGAGCAUCCACGUGUCCGCUAUUUAUCCGUUUAAUCAUCGUCCACGUGUACGUCACAGAUCGCCCCCUUUAACACGCUGGCAAUCACCACCACCUUCGAUCGUACCAAUCACAGACCUCUUCUGGGUUCUUCACUUGGAUAUUCCUCUACCGCUAUAGAACACCAAAUUGGAAGUAGACGUCAUUCAUUCAUUACGCUACCAUCCAACUACAAUACUCCCUGUUUUGUAGCUGCUGGCAUGGCUGAUGACAAGGAAAAUCAAGUUCCAGUCACUGAUCCUCAAGUAGUGCAGCCACCGGCGCCGGGAGGAGGAGCAGAAGAAGCCGGUGGGAGAAAACCGCCGCUCAUCCACCUUAUUUCCAGGUACUUAGGCCACGUUUUCCGCUAUUUUGGAUUCAAGGCCAAAUAUGUACCUCUCCAAUCGGAAUUUGGCCCCCCUGAAAUUAGUAAUUAGUGUUUGAUGAUGAUGAUUGCAGAUGAUCAAAGAAGCUUUGAUGGCGUUGGACGAGAAGAGCGGAUCGAGCCCGUACGCUAUAGCGAAGAAAAUGGAGGAAAAGCACAAAGCGGUGCUUCCAGCUAAUUUCAGGAAGACUCUGGCGGUGCAGCUGAAGAACUCGGAAGCCAAGGGGAAGCUGAUCAAAAUCAAAGCUUCUUACAAGCUCCCGUCAUCCGAGUCGGGAAAGAAGAAGAAGGAGAAUAAAUCAUCAUCUCAUCCUCCGUGAACCUCACCUAAAGCCAGAGCUGCUGCAGCUGGUGUUGAUCUUGCACAGAAGAAGAAGAAGGAGAAGAAGGCUAAGACCAAGUCUGUAAACGAUCCAGAGACUGGGAGGAAGAAAUUGGUUCCGAAGAAAUCGGUUGGUGGUAGCAAGGCGAAACAGCCGAGGUCGAUCAGGUCCCCUGCUGCUAGAGCCAAGAGGGCUAACGCCGCUGGUUAACGAGUUUUAGUGGUUUCUUUUCAUGUAAAUGGAACUUUUCUGGUUGACGACAUUGGUUCUGGAGCUUCUUGUGUGUUUUCCAAUGGUCGAUUUUGGCUUCGCCCCCUUGAUGUAUGGAGAGAGAGUGGACUGACAUUUUCUGCAGGUGGCGAUGAAACAGUCGGUAAGUCGAAGUGAUUAGUGUGAUGGGUUUUUGGGUAGAGGGAUGAUGCGGGGCUGUUCAAAUUGUGCUCAACGCUAAAACAAGUUCGAAUUCGAGCAUUUAGCUUGUGUCGAGUUCGGGAUUAUUGGAUUUUGACUCGUCUUGAAGAGUCAAACUCGAUCUCAACUUAAACAGUUUAAGUUGAGUUCGAAGUUUGUAUAUUUAAAAAUAUCAACAAUUAAAGCUAAAAAACAAACAUAAAUAAUGUAACACUCGCACUUAUGUCAAUGCAUAUUGAUUUUACUAACGUGUUAUAUAUUCGAGUUAGUAUAUAUCGUAGCUCAAACUUGAAUCAUUAAGCGUCAUUGUUUAUAAGCAUUAGAACACUGACAGACACCAAUCAUCUCGUUCUCAACCAACGUCUAUUACAAAAUGUUACAAAGCAUAGUUUCUACUAUCACUGGCAAAUUUACAAAGCUUGGUCAAAGCCUAUUUUUUGCUGUUACAAACAUCAUCAUCAUCAUCAAUUCAUGUCAUAGAAACAUAACACGAAUCCAAAACAAACAAACGAACAAAAAAAUCAAAUCAUAUUUAUUUAUAGAUUAGUGGAAAGUUCAGGAAAACCUUAUAAGAUGGAAAGCACGCUUCGUUUCCAUAAGGAAGUUCUUCUCCUGUUCAGUUUCGGUGUGAAAUUGAGGAGUCCAAACAUCCCCUUCAUGGCAAGCUCUUUCCCUUCGUCGAAACCAACUAGCUUCGCUACCACAUUGGCGCUCUCCGAAAUGUGAUCCAUGUCACUCGUCUUGGUCCACAGCCGGCUCACCAGUUGCAGUCUUCUGUUUUGAGAGUUCAACUUGAUGCCCCAUCUCAAGAAAAGGUUCUCCCUUUCUUCCUUGGUCAGGUUCCUCUGCAUUUGCUUGCACAGCAUAUGCUUCUCUUCAUCCAAGGCUCUUUUGCUGUGUCAGACAAAGUAGAAAUUAUCUUCACCAGCACAUUUGAUGUUAGAUAAAUGGAACUGUUCAAUCUUUACAAAGUUCAACCCAAAUAACAACCAUUUUCAACUAUAACAAAGCAAAAAAGUCAAGCUUGUAAGACUUGGACUAUCCAUCUAUUUCACUAUUAUGAUAUGGACGAAAUUUUUUAGGGAUUACAACAGGAAGGUAUCAUUGAUAAAGGAAAAUUUGGGGCUUGGGGCUAUGAAUAAAGUGUUUGGCGGGCAACCCAACCCACCCACCCACUUUUGCACGGGUUGGGUUACAACAGGUGGGUUUAGUAGGUAACCCAACCCAAUGCUCAGCCCUAGCAAAUAGCAGAAUAGGAUGAUCGGGUACCCAGAGCAGGAUUUCAAGUUUACAGUAAGUUUGAAAGCUACAUUGGGCGAAAUUCGUGAACACCCUAGGGGGAAACUUCGAUUUUGAAUAUUUUACAUAUGAUUUCUUCACUUUGGAACUGAAGGACCCUAGGCGGUGGGCUAGAUGCGCCCAACCCUGGUUCCACCAUUGGAUAAAUGCAGAAUUAUAAGUUACCUGGAAGAUGCUGUCAUGACUUCUGAAUGGGCCAUAGGCUGCUGGUUGCCUUUGGAAUAGGUGUCCUUCAGGAAAGACAGUCUUCUGAGCUCCACCUCCAUGUAGAAAGAAUCCGCAGGAUCACCUUUGAACAGAAGAAAGAAAUAGGUUCUGUGUACUAAGGAAAUGUUGCACGAAUGCCAAAGCAGAAUGAUCUCUCCUUGCAGCCUCUGGAAUUCCGCAGGCCAUGAUGGAGAAGUUCCUCCAUCGUCUUGAAUGGGAUCCAAACCCACAUCUCUCUUUUCAGGUACUACAGCCAGACUUGAUUCAGGCAUGUCUGUAGUUGCAACAGCCAUGUUUCUAGCUCUACUGCUCCUCCAAUCACUAGGAGUUUCGCCAUUGUGAUCAAGAUCAUCAGCACCAGGAGUAGUUUCAGAAUCCUGAGAGCUUCUCCCUGAUAACCCAUCAUUUUGAAGAUCGUACCUCAAGGGGAAAAUCGGACCAGCAACACUUGCUCUUCUCUGAGUGAAACAUUUGUCGAAUAUGGACGGAGGUGUACUGUCAUGCUUUUCUGUCCUCUCAAACCAAUGAGUUGAUUUGGUUGUUACAGCUGCUCUAGCGCUUUUGCUCCUGAUCAACCUCAAGCUUCGAGGGGUAUAUACGUCUUCCUCCAUCAGCCAUGGAGAUUUCUCCGGGGAAGGUAUAAUGAAGUCCCUUGGAGAUGAUGUCUCACUGCCUAUCCUGUUAAAAUCAGAUGGCGAAUCAUUCACCUCUUUCUGUUGGAUUGAAAAUGAACCCGGUCCUUUGUUUUCCCUAGCUUCUUCUUCUGUCGUCUCAGCUUCCUUCUCCUCCUUUAGAGGAGAUGAAGCUAGUUUUUCUUCCUUAUCCUCCAUCUCCUUCUCAUUCUUCACUGGCGACGAAGCUAGUGAUUUCUUAUCAUCAGUUUCUUGCUCAUCACUCAUUGGAAAAUGAACUAGUUUUUCCUUCUCCUCAGCUUCUGUCUCGCCCGUUGGAGAAGAGGAAACUACUUCUCUCUUCUCCUCGUCUUCUUCCAUCUCCUCCUUCAAUGGAGAAGAAACAGCGUCUUUGUCCACCUCAGUUUCUUUCUCCUCCUUCGAUGGAGAAUAAACAGCUCCUUUGUCCAGCUCAGCUUCUUUCUCCUCCAUCAAUGGCGAAAAAACUAAUUCCUUCUCCACCAAAGGUGGUUCUUCUUCCUCCUUAAGUGGAGACAAGACUAUUUCUUUCGCUUUGUGAGUUUCAUCAUCAACCUCUGGACGAGGGGGAGAUGAAACUACAGAGUCGGAAUGUUUGUUAUUAGGGCUGGAUGCUGACUCUAUCACAUUGGACGAAAUGCUGCUGCUAGUGCUGGCCGAGUUGUCGACCUCGAUGCAUUGCACUUCUUUGCAGGGAAUGGGUAUUAGACUCUCAUGAAUCUGCUGCUUUUCAUUUUCCAUCUCAUGCGCUCCACCUUUAGUACGUUUAUUAUCGGUUGUGUAUGAUAUGUCUGGCGAGGCAUAUGACUGAAGGAACUCUUGAAAUUCGGCGAGUUGGUUAAAGGUCUCAUCAGAUAUUAUGCUGCAUUGGUCCUCUGAAGUUUGGGAUGGUUCAAAAGAUCUUACUGUCAUGCGGGGAUCCUCAGAAAUUGGUGAAUAUGAUAUCGAGGUCUCCGAUUUCCAGGAAUUCUGAACUCGCAACUUUGGGUAUUGCUGACCCGCCUCUACCUCCUGUAAGACAACGAUGCACAACCAUCAGGACCAGUAGAAAUGUAAGAGGAACAAUGAUUUUUAAAGGAAAUGGAAGAAACAAACCCAUGGAAAUGAGACUCUGACUCUCUCUGGUUGCUGAUCUUCAACACGAGAUUCAACUACGUUUAGUUGUCUAGUCAGAUCAGCUACUUCUUUCGUAAGCUGCAAGAAAGGUCACAAAAAGGCAUUAAAAUUAAUGUUCCAGCCAUCCCUAACAAAAGAGCUGAUAAUGAACUAACAUUUUCAAUUUCCUGGUCCUUUUUCCUCAAUAAUUCAGUGACAUUUGACGAAACAGGUUUCGAUCCUGCACUUCUUAAUUCGUUCUCCAAUCUUGCCAGUUCUCUUUGUAGUUGCUUAACCAAUGCUUUAUCAGUCAUAACAACAUUGACCCGUGCAUUAGUCGAAACUUCUUUAGCACAACUAGCAAAUAGGAGUGUGUUUCUGGACUGCUCUACAUGGGUUCGUGCAGGGCUCAUUGUGCAGAUAAUGGCAGUCCUAGCAUUUCCUCCCAAGGACGACUGCAAUAUGCGAGUCAACUUUGAAUCUCUGAAAGGGAUAUGCCCAUUCCUUCCUUUACUGCACUCGGUCACCAAAUAAUUCAAACAGACAUUACUUGGUGCACGGAAUCUUGUUAUAUCAUCUUAGAGCUUAUCUAUUUAAGGAUUUCUAAGGGAGCAAUAACAUUUCUCAAAUCUUGAUGCACUUUUGGAUUAGAAAGACCAAGUAAGCGAACCUUAGUUUACGGAUAACAGUCCCCAAUGUCAGUAAACUGCGAUUUAUAUGGCAACCUUCUUUUAACCUCAUGCCGGCAGACAUUGCCUGAGACGCACGCUCACUUCCAGCUAAAUCGAUAAAAUUCUGCAAAAUCAAAGAACUAUUUAUACCACCAGCUAUUUUGUCACUGUAAGAUGAACAGUUAUUCACAUAUCUUAUGGGUUAUUACCACAGUAGCCGAGAGAGUGCUCGACUUGUCUUUUCCUAGAAACUCAACUGCAGAACUGUCAAUUGUCUGAAACGUACAGCAUACCAGCAAUCACACAAUUCAGCAAUGUCGUUAGAGUAAAAAUUCAAAGAGAAGUAGAGAAGAUUAACCAGUCAUACCAGCCUUAAUAUUUGAUGAGAUCUAGAGCUUGUCUCAUUAAGGGAAGUCUCCCCUAUUUGUCUCUGAGCUGUAAAAAACAUACCGAUACAUGGUUUAACUAUGCAUUCUUUAUGCUUAUAGUUCGAAACAUGUACUCAAGAUCCCUCUUUUCCCUACCUUCACAAAUUGACAUGAGUUCUUGAAAAUGAUUCCAAUCUCUAAGAGUUUCCUCAGUCAACCGCUCAACAACAGUCCCUCUCUGUUUGCAUAAAAGAAUGAAUUAUCACUAUCAAAGUCCAAAAGAAUAGCAAGCUCUUUACCACUAUGGAGAAAGGGAAUCACCUCUGGAUCGUCUAGAAGUCGAAGAGGAGUUGAAUCCACACUAAGGAGGUCUCUAACAGAUUCAUUGUAAAUCUCCAUUGCAGAGAACUUCAAGCUAAACUCUCUUUCCUUGUGCUGAAGGAGAAAGACAAGAGGACGGUUUCAGUAAGCAAUGUAAAUAAGGAAACAAGUGCACGGUGAAGCAUACCAAAAAUAUUCAGGAAGGAACUUACUCUCUCCACAUACUCAUAUAUAUCAGCUACAGUAUAGUGGGUGAUCCCCCGCAUUGUGUAUGUCUUUCCGCUACUCGUUUGUCCAUAAGCAAAUACACUUGCUGUGACAAAAUCAACCUAAGAAAUCAGUCCAUGCCAAACUUAAAAUGAAGAGGUUCAGACAAAUUACUCUAACAGCAACAGCGAAUCAUACUUACAAUUUAUACCGCUGACAACAGAAAGAGCAACUGCCUUAGCCCCGUCCUUAUAGACCUGAUUUGUCGGACAAUCAGGACCAAAGACUUUGUCUGAAGCCACGAAAGAAAAAUGUUGAUUCAACAUAACAUGAAAAGUUGCUCAACGUCAAAGAAAUGAGCAGUCUGAAGAGCAUGCAUUAGUAUAAAAGGCUCCCAGUGCCUUAAAACUGGAUAUAUAUAUAUAUACAAAAGUCAAUUUCCUAACUUCCAAUCAGAGUCAAGUACAAGUUCGUGAAAUGUAAUCCCAUUGGCAGCACACUUUCAUUAACAUAGGAAUUUGUUCACUAAAAGGUUCAAGAAGAAUGAUAUAAGGUAAGACUCUUCUUACCAAAGGUAUAUGCAGAUGGGUACAUUGAACGAUCAGAGACAGAGAGAUUGUUUCUGUAAAUGACAGUGGUGUCAUUGAUGCAUUCCCAGUCCGACACAUCAUGUCUUGUAGCUUCCUUCUCAUUCAGGGGCCUUACUCGAACCGAUACCAAAAUUUUCUCUUCCCCGUCUUUUGGUUCGUAGAUCGACUCUUCAUCUUCAACUGCCCCCAUCUCUCUCCCUCUCAGUUCUCUGCAAAAAUCAUAUAAUGCUCAAGUUCUCUCUGCUCCCAACUCUUCUUCACCCAACAAACAAUGUAGUCUCUGUGAAAGGAUAUUGUUGACCACUAACAAAGCUUUUUCCUUUCGUGGCUCAAGAGAAAGCAUGAUUGCAAAGCAAGCCAUAACAACCACAUGGCCAAAACAAAAACAAAAUAUAAUUUAACUAAACACGAACUAAACUAAUGAACUAAUGAUGGAAAGGAAUUACGAGGCAAAAUUCACCGACACUUUUGGUCGGCUUUUUUUGUCUUAACUCGGAAACCCUUCAUUAAGUCAAUGUUGAAUAAAAAUAAAAUAUUGAUAGGUGAGGGAGAGUGCAAGGUUGUAAUGCAGAAAGGAAAAUGAAUGAAUGAACCAAAAAAGAAGAACAGGGGAAGGGUCAAACAAACUGAUGAAUUAAUGAAUAGCCGAAGAUUGAGACAGAUAUGGAUGGACCCUUCUUCUAUACUAUAAUGGUCCCCCCGCCCUAUUUACAGUCUGUUAAGUGCGGUUUUCACUCUUAUGCGUCUUCACAUGUUACCUCAUUUCCCAAAGGAACUUAUUAGUCACUCACACUUAACCAACCAAAAUGAAUUAAAAAUGUUGGGGAAGAACAAGAAAGAGAGAGAACCUAAUCUAGAUAUUGUAAAAUUUAUAAUGCAAGAGGGCGAGAUAAAAAAUGGAAUUUGAUUUGGUGUAACCUGUUUGGGAUUGAGAAUUUCAGAGCCUGUAGCGUAGAAUGUCUGUUGCUAUCGUUGAAAUUUUUCUGGGAAAAGGAUUCUCGCUAAUUCCAUGUGCGAAGCUGGAAUGUAUGAGAAGCUGAGCCACCAGCAACCUGCCCGUCCCACAAAGUCUGGAAAAAAGCAGACACCCUCUCUGAUUGGAUUGGAUUGGAUUGGAUUAGCCUCUCUCAACUUUCCCCGGUUUGGCAGUUUCGAUGGCGUCGAGAAUUUCAGCCCUGCCAUGGACAAUAUUAGCAACAGAUUCAGUUUAAGGUCGCUACCAAACUUCCAAAUAUGGCUACAUUGUUACGAAAAUCUAAAUUCCAGCAAAAUUCUCCAAAAAUACCGAGCGGGGCGGGAAAAAAUAAAAAUGAUGUGAAAUUGAGUGAAAGGAUUCAAUUCAAGUGCACUUUGAAUUUGAAUUAAACAGCGGAAUCCCGCCGGAAACGAUAAAAAAAUCAUGAUCAAAAGUUAUGAAAAGCACAUUGGACAGAAAUAUGGAGCCCAAAGUAGUCAUAGCAGCUCAACGGAAAGUCGAGGCAAAAAAAAAAAGACUGAGCGAUCUAUCGACGUUCUGAAUAGGAAUCACCUCAGGAAACCGGAAUCCAAGUAAAGAUCAGGAAGAAGAAGAAGAAGAAGGUAGGAAGGAAGCUGAACAAUGUAGGUAAAACUGGUGGAAGAAAUGUUCACCUGGAGCGAAGCAUGCUCUGACGCCUGAUCCAGAGCAGGAUUUUGCGGUACCAGAGAAGAGACCUAAUGGAAUUUAAGCGACGAAAGCAGAGCCGGAAAAGCAGGACUUGAGGAAAUACGAAGAAGAAGAAGAAGAAGAAGAAGAAGGAGAAAUAGAGAAGGGGGGAGGUGUCCAGAAACGGAGAAAACAGUAACCAGUCGUUUUCGCCUUUCGCCUUUUGCUUCCUUUUCUUUGAUUUUAAAAGGCGGGGGGCAACGCGAGAAAAUAGAGAGAAGAUGGUCUUCGCGGAGUAGUUGGAUUUAGGGGUGGCUUGGUUCGUCAUUCUCUAAACUAAACUUAAGCAAAAGUGUGGCAAAUCAUCAUCAAUUUACCUUAUUAAUGCCCGGCCGCGUAAUUUGUUUCGAUCGAUGUAUUAACAAACCAAAUAAAAGGUGCAAACCUCACAUACGAUACGAUGCUAUAUGGAUAAAAAAUUAUUAUACCAAAACGGCUAACCUACUUGUAUCAUGUUUCUGGGAUCGUUACUUCCCUUAUUUGCAUCGGUGGCUUUCCUUGCUCCUUCCCACUUCCUAGGAUCUUAUAUGAUAGCUUCCACUGUGUCGUAAAGUCUACGUACGUUCAUCCAUCACACGAUGGAAAUCGAUUUCAUGGUGAAAUUGAAAAUAUACAAAUUUUUCUUCAAUUUUUCGAUUUUGACACCGCGGCUAUGUUGCUAUACAUUUGACUUCCGCUUUCUCAUUGCCUAAAAAUUGACACCCUUGGCUCGCAAUAGUCUUUCUCUCUAGUAAAUAAACAUUAUAAGGGUGUUUAUUUGUAGGAUGAUUUGGAUUUAAACUCAAAAUUUUUAGGCCGUUAAUAUACAACUCUAUCUCUAAAUAUAGACUAUAAUUUUUAUUAAUUGACAUGAAAAAUUCAAAGAGAUGUAACAAAUUAAAUCACCCACCAUCUAUUGAAAUCACUAACCCUUAUUAGAUAUUCUAAACGAUGGUUAAAAAUUUACAUGGAUUCGUCUUAUAAAUUUAAAUUUUAGCCAAUUCUUUUAAAUUUUCAUUGUCCAAAUAAAAAAGUUUGAGACCAAAUCUCCAUUCAAAUUAUCUUAGGGGUCAUUGAGUGUGAAAUUUUUGGUGGAUGAGAUCUAAAUAUGGAGAAUAUAAUUGGUUUAAAAUAGAAAAUUUAGACUAAAAACAAUUAAAAGAGAUUUUGGAAAAAUUAAAACGUUUCAUGGUGAACCCGGAUGAUUUCAAUACGGAAAUAAACCUUUUUUAAAUUUCGAAAAAUGAUAAAAUGAUUUAAUAAUAGUCUCAUUAUAAAAAUAACGAAUAAUAUCACAACAAUCUUAUUCACAAAAUAUUUCUCUAAAAUCACAAAAUCAAAGGAGCUAUAUUUUCAAAUAUUUUUCGAUGAAUAAUUACUUUUAUUCCAUAAAAAAAUCAGUAGCUCUAGACGAUCUCUUUCAACAACAUAGGGGGAAAAGACAAAGGCAAACUCAUAGCUUCUAGCAAGUUUCAAGUCACAGUGCCAACAACAACAAAAAAACAAAACACAAAACUAGGCAAUCUGCAUAUUCAUACAAUGAUGCAACUUUCUUCUCAUCCAUUCUGGCAUUCACCGUGACGAAAAUCAUCUCCGAAAUAAUUUUUAUAUUACAACAACGGUAGAGUGAGGACCAUCGAACACCCUUUUGCAUCUCUUUUUCCAAAUGGAAGAAACCAUAACACACCAAAUAACCCUCUUAACCUUGUGCACAUUUGUCUUACUCUUCUACAAACAGCAAGCAUCAUCAACAUUUUCAUCCCAACCCUUUUGACUGGAAAGUUCCGGAAGAAGUGAACAAAGAAUCUCCUGCGAAAAAUUGCAGUAGAAAAAAAGAUGACUCCUAGUAUCAACACCAUUACUGCUAAGGACACAGGAAAUAUCAUGAUCAUUCAAUUUACGAACUUUUCUCGAACUGCAAGCCGAUCACUAAAAACAAGCCGGCAAAUAAAACUUGAGUUAGGAAUCGGCCACUCAUUCCAAAUUAGAUUAGCCCAAGACACAACAUCUUGCUUUGGUCCAAUAACAUCCCAAACUCUACGAAUGCGGAAUCCAGACAUGAGUGCAAUAUCCCAUAAAACAAUACCAGCACUAUUGACGAAAACAUGGGUCUAGCAAGCUAUAUUUUCAAAUAUUACCUAACCCAUUGACUAGCUAUUUCAAUUAAUUUGCGAUUUAAAUUCACCCUCCUACGAAAUCACCCAAACAUAAAAAAAUCGAAAAAUCCAAAUAACCCCUUAAAUAAGAAAAGUAGUUAUACGGGGGAUGACGCAUCUGGGCUUGACCUUCAUCCGCCAUCGGCGGUGGUUGCUGGUCGCUCAUUGGGUUGCAAAGUUGCUUUCGAAAUCUCACUGCGUCGUUAGUGAUGGUUCAUUACCAACCACCGCGCGCUAAUCAGACAUUGAUUUUAAUGUCCGAUAUGCUAAUCAGUUUGUGCAAUCAUUGCUCCAUCUGGUAAUUACAAAACUUCACCUAAUUUGCUUACUGGCCAAGCCUUUAAUUACAUUACAUUUCAACUAAUGAUCACGAUUUUAACUACAACACAACAGCUGUGGAUCAGGAUCGUUGUAAAUAUACGUUUUGUUUUUUGACGGAACUGUUCGAAGACGGUGAAGCUUUCUGGCACGUGACUGCUCUUUCUCUGCUCUCCGUCUACACGAGACGACGGCAAAGUGUGGCAAGAAGAGGCAGGAUAUAUAAGAAGAAACUUGCAUGCUAAGUAGGUUUCAUGCUUUCUACAAUAAGCUGAUUAUCAUAUAUAUUUUAGGCUGUUGUGGCUAGGUGGGAACCGAAAUUCUUAUAGAUCCGAGAGAAAUGUCGAUUUAACGGUCUAUAAUCAAUUUCGCCAAUUUUAAUUUGACGAUUGAAAUUUUAUUAGAGGUAUAACGGGAAUUAAAAAAAUAUUCUUUAUCUUUCAACUUUUCUUUUUCUCUCCUCUUUUACUCUUCUCAUGUAAACCGGAUAUAAUAAUGAUAUACCAAUUAUGUAAUAAUGACAUAACAUGGAUAUAACAAUUUACAUAUGAAGUCGACAUAAUGAGUCUAUUAAAAGGGCAUAAUAGUAUUGUUAAUCAAUAAUUCUCGUUCGUGUCAAGAGCUUUUUUACCUUAGGGCUUAGCGUCCCUUUUUUUAUUUGGCAGAUCAUAAUUUAGUAUUCCUCCGAUUGAGAGGCUUGUAACAUCGUUUAUUAUUUUCUCUUGUCAUUCAUCCUUUUAUCUUUCGUGGACUCCUAUUCGGUGUAAAAAUGAUUAGGGUUUUUGAAGCAAAAGUCAAUUAGGAUUUUUCUUGAAGCAAAAAGAGGGUUGGAGUUUUUUGCCUCUUUCCCACUACGAAAAAUCAGAGAUGACAAUGGUGUCAUUAGGAUGAUGGAGAGGAACGAGGAAAGGACGCGCUGCAACUGGGGAAGAAGAACAGACGGCGGCGUUCGAGGGUAUACUGGAACACUAAAAAAACCUAGCAACGACAGGCCACUCGAGGUCCUGCCACUCGGAGUAAAUCACUGGCAGCUACUCACUCAAGAUUUCGACCUUUUCGAGUAUAAUGUUUUGGGUGACCCCAAUUCAGCCUCCACCGUUCGUUUAUGUUUUGCCUAAUUUCGUUUUCUGUUGGAUGUUUGAACAAUUUCUGUUUUCCUACUUCCGUCGUCCGGUUGCUUUUCGAGCUCGGGUUGUGAGCCUCCGUUCAAGGUUUUAUUUAUUUAGGUCGACCGGUAACACGAAUGUGCUAGCUAUUACUAACGCGCCGCCACACCAUACCCGUUUCAGGUGGUACUCCUUCUAAGGGUUCGAUUGGUGAGAUGAACACAUUUGACCAAGAGCUUUAAUAAUAUAUAAGUAGCCUCUUUCGAAAAAAUGACAUAAUAAAAACGCAUAACAAACUCGUAAAGUGUAGAUAUCACAGACAUAAAAGAGUGGUAAUUGGACAUAACGAUGAUGAAUUCAAUUACUCGUAAGGUGGACGUAACAACGACAUAACGAGCCUGUAAAAUGGCCGUAUUAACGGCAUAACAUGCUCGUACAAUGACCAUACUAUUGUGAUUUUUUUCCAAUUUUUUUAUUCUGAAAAUAUCCCCAUUCAAAUCAAUUUGUUUGACUCGUUUUCAGCUGUUAGAUUACAGUUAACUCAAAAGCAGGCUAAUUUUCUGUUGAGACAAUCUAUGGGUACCUACUUUUAAAAUCGUAGCCGGGUUGGGUGGGAACGACCUCUAGUAUAUAAAAUUAAUCAAUUUUUGAAAUGGAGAUGAUCGAUUAAUGCAACCUAAAUCUAAGUACUCGAAAAUUAAAAGAGGCGGGGGGGGGGCGGGGGGGGGGCAGGGACGGGGGCGGGCGCCGAAAAAGCCAUUUGUCAGACCGCCGGCGGCGGCGGCAGCCAGAUCGGCAUUUUCCACCGGCGACACUCUCCACAGAAGGUCAGGACACAUAACAAAAUUGGGAUAGACUGCCGUAUUCCGACGUAAAUUUGGUAGGAGGUGGUUGGAAAAAUGAUCACCUCUGAAGUUUCUUGUUUUAUUUAUGGUAAAAAUUCGUGGUUGCAAAAUAAAUCGGAAGUUGGCAAUUACUACUACUGCAUCUUGUGUUGGGUCAGAUAGUUGCUUAGAGAAUUUGCCCGGAAACUUCCUACCGAUCGGAAGGUUCGUCCAUUACCAAGUACAAAUCACAAAAAAAGCUGAACGGAACAUUUCAUCUGGCCUCUGGGGUUUAUAAAACCCGCCAUCAAAAGCUACCGAGAAAAGCAUAAAGUAGAAGAAAAGAUCAGAAGCUAUGGUGGAGGAGAAUGAGAUAGAGGAAGUGAGGAGCUACAUCAGCAGCAGCAGCAGCCAGCAGGCACUGCCACUGGUGUCUUUGAAUCACGUGUCGUUGAUGUGCAGGUCGGUGUGGGAAUCAACGAGGUUUUACGAGGACGUGAUGGGCUUUCUCCUCAUUAAGCGCCCUUCUUCUUUCAACUUCACCGGCGCCUGGUAUUAUAAUAUUUCCGUUUCAUCAUCAAUUUUCUAUUCUGAAAACCAUUAAUUUCUCUCCGUUUCUGCUGGUUCAUCAUCAAAUCAAGGUUGUACAAUUAUGGAAUUGGGAUACAUCUUAUUGAGAACACAUCACUGGAUACUGAUCAAUUCGAGCCGCGCCCGAUCAACCCCAAAGACAAUCACAUUUCAUUCCAAGUAAGAUGAUAUGAUGAGCUAGCGAUACGUCAUAAUAUAGUCAAGAUCUCGAUUUUGAUCUUAAAAAUCUCUCUGUUUUACGAUUUUAUCAGGGUUUAAUGAUCUGUUUAUUUGUUACUAGUCUACAGAUGUAAAGGUCGUUCAGAGGAGGCUGGAGGAGUUGGGGAUGAGAUACGAGACAGCAGUGGUGGAGGAUGAUGAAGGGGCGAAAGUGGAUCAACUAUUCUUCCAUGACCCAGAUGGUUACAUGCUGGAAAUCUGCAACUGCGACAACAUCCCGAUCUUGCCCCACUCCACCUCCAAGGAGAAAUCUGCAGGAGGAGCAAAAUGUGGGAUGUUGCUGUUAAUGGAGAAUGAGAUGAUGGAGAGCUUGAGCAUGGAUAUCAUGAACCUUGCCUUUUGACACUUCAGUUUGUUCUUCUGCUCCUUUUGAAUGUUACUGUCUACAAUUUGUCGUUUCUUAUCGAAGAAAUAAUAAUACUCGCCAGCUUGUCUUCUUGUUGUAAAACCCAACUGAGGAUAUUCAAAGUUAAUAAAUACACCACUUUGACAAAGAGUAUUUUAUUAUUCGAGCUCAAACCAUCAGUAGGUUGGCUCGGCUGGCUCGCUAGCCUGAUCAGCUCGUUAGCCCUAUGAAUCUUGCUCACGAAACAGCUCAUUUGUGGCUCGAACCAACUUGAUUGAAGCUCGCAAGCUCGGUGGUCAUAAGCACAAUAAAUAGGGCUUCAAUAUUAAGAAACACAACACAAUACAACUUUGUUUCGCAAGUCUUAGAUGUGUUGCAUUUUGUUAGUAGUAAUACAUACAAUAUGUGGCAGCUACUUACUAUUCAUGUGUUUCUUCAAGUUACACAAUUAUCUGUCGUGGUUUCACUGUACAAAUUGACAACUGAACAUAAUUUAAGUUUUAUGUACACAAGUCUCAGCAGGUGCGGUGCUUCUUCCAAAGGAUGGCAACAUCAUCAAAUACAUGCUGCUUAGUUUUGACUGUACAAUGCCCACCAGCUUCAUAUUCGAGUUACAGGGCAACAAGGCCAACUCUGCAAAUGAUACGAAAAAGAAGGAAGAUCGAGAUAAGGUAUCGAACAACGCACCAUUGGUAGAGAGAACUAAGGGUCCUUGGGUAUGGAAUUACCAUUCAUGACUGGAAAAGAGUUAUAGUAGCAAUGUGACCAUUUUUCAUCACCUGCCGUAAAAAUAAAGAUCCAAAACUACUCUCAGCAAGCAGGAUGCAUAAUCAAAGAUCGUUGCGUUCCAAAUAACUUACCUCCAAGGCAAUGUUCUGGUACCCAUAUACAAAAGUGGAUCCAAAAGGAUUGCUUGUAGAACCUUGUGUUUGGAUAGCUGCACGACCACAAUCCCCUAAGAUCCCCUGCAGGUCAGAAUUAUCUAUUAACUAAAAUGGUAGGAUCCUAUUACUAAAAGGCUGUCCAUCGACGUUUCAAUUUUUAAAAAUCAACUUUGAGCAACUGUACUACCAGAAAGAAAGCAUUUACCUUUACUUGCUCCCAUUUGGUGCUAGGGGUAAUACUCUGCUUCGAGUUAUUUACUUCAAAGGAAAAUCAAAAUAAAAGCAUCAGUUCCUAUCCAACCAUCGGCAACCAAAUUCUUCAAAGGAUUAGAUAAGGAUUCAGAACCUUGGAUAACAAAAUUGCACUUUAUGUAAGAAUUGAAGUCUGCAUGGCCAGGAUAAUUGCUAUGGAGAACAAACUUCUUAACUUUAUGGGUCUGGAAGAAAUUUAAAAAAGUUGUUAUAUGAAAGCACAGUAACUGCAGCACAAAUGAAAAGUUAAUGGAAUGGAAAGAUUGACUAUAAGCACCUGCCCAUCAAAUAAGAUGUCCAAGCCUCGAGUGAAAUAAUUAUAGAAGUAAUCAGCACAAAGUGUAGUUCGUGGAGAAGGGUCUGACGCCGAGUGGAUAACCAUCUGAUCUACCUGUAUUGGUAACAACUUAGUGUACAGAACCAAUAUGCAUGCUAAAGACAGGAAUCAAGAGCGGAUAGCAUUCCAAACUCCAAAGGACCAAUGUAUCAAAGUUCGGGAACACAUCCAGUAGAACAAUAAACUUCACAUGCUUGAUGGAAAAAAACACCAAUGCAGCAUUCCUUAGUUUCCAAGAAUUGAAUAACCAAUUCUACGCAACCUGCUUUUGAUGGAUUCCACAAGGGCGGCCUAAUUCUGUCCAUACAUCCUGCCAAAAAAGAAAUUGUGAGCAGCAUGCAAACCCAAAAAACAGCAGUAACAGCCAACAUAAAAGACAAUCAGACAAUCAAGUAUCUUCUCAAGAAGUGUGUUUUGAUUACACUUUGAAGCAUGGGUUUAUAAUACAAAUGCUUACCUGUGGUGAUGCACCAAAGGGAAUAUGCUGCCCUCCGAUUGAAAAGAACAACUCUUCACGAAGCUUCAGCAAUAAAUAAAAUACCAUUCAGCCAGAAGGCUUAGAAGUCACUAAAACUAACCAAUGAGGCAUUUCGUUGCUAACAGUACAAUAAACUAACAGACAAUAAAAAGGAGGGCAAACCUUUACUUGCACUUCUUCCAUGUACAGACUGCCAGAAGGUAAAGGAGGGGUAACAGCCUUAUCCAAAAGGGAUCCAACACCGACUUUUUUGUCACUCGAACCAUCAUAUACACAAACCCGACAUGUAACUGGUGUCGUUCCAUCUGGAAACUCCAGAGGAAGUUCAGCUGCAACAAAACAGGGAACACAAGGGUAAAACGUCAUUUGGGCUUCUGUAAACUGGGAAAUGCAGCUUGAAACGAAUGCUGCAUAAUGCAAUACCUUCUCUAUCCUGACAGCAGUCUGCAUACUGCCCAGGAAUUGGGAACGCAAACGAUAGGCCCUAAAAACAAGAAGCAAGCAGAUGCAUAAUUCAAAGACUAUGAUGGUUCCAAAGGUAUUAGUUAUAAUAAUGACUUGUGUUCUUUACCUACCGGGUAAAAAAGAGUAUAAACUCCUCUAUCCUUGUCAUAGAUCCCAGGAAACGUAGGGCCAAAAAGAGAAUAUACAGCAAGAAAUGUUGCCAUGCUGCCCGGUCCACUAAACAUGAAUAAAAGGCCAAGAGUUAGAAAGGAGCCAGUCAAUGAGAACUUCAGGACAAACCUGUAAGUGUGAUUGAUGGUGCUUAAAAACGAACAUACCCAAUCAUAGAAGUGGCAUAGCGCAUUUGAAGCCGUUUUACAUCAAAUAUCUCAACCAGUCUUAGCCUCUGGAACAUUUUGAAAGAAAAAGUGGAUAUAGUGCAUUGAAUUAGUCAGCAUAGCAAAAUAAAUAUGUAUUAGGAAACCAUCUUCAAAAGAAGGUGACAAGAACCAAUCACCUGGGACCAAGGAUCGAAUCGAAGGUGAAAACCAUGAUCUGGAAAGCUAAUAACAAUAUCAAGUUUCAACGGUUCCUGCAUAAUGUGAGAUAGAACAUAAAGACCAUUUUAUAGGAUCGGCGGUAAACAACUUGAGAAAUGAAGACUGACAAAAGAUAUACAACUGAACAAGGAUGGCGGCGGCAGUAACUUACACCUACCAUACACAAGUCAAGUAAACAAGACCAGAACGCAUAAAGAAAGAGAAUUCUAGUUAUGAAAGACAAACCUCGUCGUAGUACUUCACAUGGACAACGUCGUAGAGAUUAGGUUGUUGCUCAAUCUGAGCGAAGGCUUCGCAAAUUGGCAUCCCUAUAGACACAAGCGAGGAGUAAUUGAAAAGCUAUUGAGGAGAAAUUACCCAAAGCGAAUAAGAAGAUAAGGGGCAAACAAGGAAGAAAGGGGAAAGAAGAAAACACAGAGAAAUUCAGCUAAAGAAAAUUAAUAAUUCAAGAAGUUCAGUAUCAAAGAUCAGAAUAGAGCGCUUCGGAAUGAUUGAACCGAAUUGCAGGAAAGAGAAAUGAGAGACUAAUCAAUUGAAAGUUGGAUCAGGGAAGAAACUGAAAGGAUCAGUAUUACCGAGAGAAAAGGGGCCGAUGCCGAGGCCAGGGCGGAGAUCGAGGACGAUGGCGCCCAUAGCUGUGCCUUCGCAGCGGGGCCGUGAUCGCUGAUGGUGUUGUUGCAUCAUUUGGUUUUCCGGUAUCCCGAACGGGGCAAAGGACUUUCCUUUUCUUUUGCUGGCUGUUCUUUCUUCGUCGUCUGGAAGUCUUUCGCGUUCUACUUAAAACUCCACCGCCGCACGCUUCCUUUUCCACAAUGCUUUCUAUCCAUCAACUCCGGCAAAAUGAGUUACGGUUGGUAGAGUUGUGGGUCGAUAAUUUAUAAAAUAUCGUAUUCGAUUUAUAUAUAUAUAUGUAAUGUUGCUCAAUUAUAAAGGAGACAUAUGUUGAACAAUUCAAAAAAUUAAUUAGGAGAUAUAAUUUCUAAAAAAAGAAAAGUAUGUGAGGAAAACAUAUCGUCAAAUUAACUCAUAAAAAGUAACUUGUAAACAGUUAAUUUUUAUCUUUUCGUAAAAAAACAAAAUCGAAAAUUGGUCAGGGAACUAAACAAACCAUGAAACCUAAUUCCCCAAACUCGAUGAGGUACUUCUCCUCUCCUCCAUCCUUCCUAAAGCCAUCAAACCAUUCUCGAGUAUCCCAAGUAAAUGAUCUUUAACUUAAUGGCCUCUAGUAAUGCCAUAGGGAAUUCAGCUUCUUUGAUUGAUAUCAACCAUCGAUCGAUCAUCAUUAUGUAUCGGAGAAAGUGUUAUUGACCACGCUGCACCGACAUUUAGAAACUACUUAGCUACCGAAGUAAUUAGGAUUGAAUUUCCUAGGUCUUUUAGUUGUAUUUACUCAAGUUGUGAAGAAUGCUAAUCGAAAUAAUUAGUUUGUGGUAUAGGUCCAACGAUUACUAUGAUUACUAAUGAAAUCGAAAAUGCAAUUAACAACUAAAACAGGGUGCAAGAUUGUAAAUAUUUCAAUGGAAAACAGAUGGAUGAACUGCUUAGACUUAGAAUCUUCUUAGGCCAUUAUGAUGAACACGAAACACUCAAAUUAAGUCAACUCGUACAAGAACAAAAAAUACAUAAUCUACCGUUGCAAUUCUUCACGAGACACGCGCCACACCGAAAAUACUUAGCAACCAAAGUAAUUAGGAUUAAAUUUCCUAAGUCAAUUCGUGCAGUAACUCAUUAAUAAUGAUUUAUGUAUAUGUUGAUGUUGAAAUUGACGAGACAUGCGAUACUCCAUACUCUUAAUCGUAAAUCAAAUAAUUAAAGUAUACGUAGAAAACAUUUUAUAUAGCAGAAAAUUUUAAUAGAUUUUUAAAGAGAAUUAGUAAUUAGAUUUAGUAAAAGAAAAUAGAAGGUAAUUACUUAGGUAAAUUGCAUGGAAAGAUUAUGAUUAAUUACUCGAUUUUUAUUGUUUGGAGAACCAUUCAUAUCCGUAGCUUUUGUAUUUUUUGAUGGCGUUUUGUGUGGAGAUAGUUUUUUAUCUUCAGACAUUUUUUUAUUUGUUUAACAAGCUCUCUUUAAAGAACAAAUUGAUUAAAUGGGGUAUUACUAUUGGUUUUGUCCGUGGCUUAUGUGAUGUUGGCUAUGAGACCUUUGAACAUUUGUUUCUCAUUUACCCUUUCUUUGCUCGCUUGAGAAGUAAAUUGUUCCCUCGUUUUAUUUUUUCCUCAAGUUUGGGAUGAUGAAGUUGAUUCGAUGCUUGACACUUUUCUUGACCGUUCCUCAACCUUUUAUGUUGUUCAUUUGGUUUGAAGAUGUUUUUGUAGUCACUUUUGAAACGAGAGAUGUCAUUAUAUUUUUACUGACGCUCGGAUAGAUAGUAAUCAACUGGACCGACAUCUUUGUUGAGAAUUUUCCGUGAUAGCAGUAUUAAAAGUUGUCUCGAUGUCUAUACUAACUCGUAUAUCUCUUAGUUGUAAUUAAUUUUGUAGAUUUAAAAUUUUUUUAUUGCUUUUUCUGAGCUGUUUAAGUCGUAUUAAUAAAAAUUUCGGUUGUUUGUGAUUUUGAUGAAAUGAAAUGAGAUUUAUUGAAAAAAAUAAUUAGGUAAAUAAGGUAAGGAGAAAUUGAAAGAAAAGGAAAGAAAAGAAAAAAGAAAAAGGAAAGUGCCGCAUUUGACGCUGGUACUAAAAAGCCUCCCUCCAUCCCGUUGUCGUCGUCACAGAGUCGGCCUAUCAUCUGUACUUGGAUUUUUUGGGCUAUUGUGUCUGUCUUCCAGUUCCUCCAAUCUCAUCCAAUCUAAAGUGUCCGCCUUUCAGAUUUAGUCUUCUCCCUCUGUAAUACCACCUUUCUCUCUCUUUCUCUUUUUAAAUACCCAGGAGCGAGAAAGUUGGGAAGGGGGGGGGGGGAGGGUUAGCGAGGGCUGUGGAAGAACGAAAGAAAUAGUGACUAUUGCUCUGUGUCAUAAUACUGACUAUUGCUCUGUCACAUCCCGAUUCAGCACAUCUCCACGUGCCCCCACUAUCUUCACCGGCGAUCAUCUUCCGACCUAGGGUUUCGACUAUCGACUUAGCUGCUGCUUCUAAUUAUUUCUUCCUUAUAGAGUUACCCACCACUUCGAUUUUCAAAUAUUUAGGUUAGAUUUUGUCAGCAGGACCAACUAGUCUUUGCGUUUCUUUUUUAUGAUCGCUAUUCCAACUUAACGACGAGAUGGAGCAACAGCAGCAGCAGCACCAGGUGUCCAGGAUUUGGAAAGGGGAAGGAGAGCAGAGUCAGCGGGGUGGUGUUUUCGACAGUUUGUUGCGGGGGGUUGGAGCUGAGGACAUGACUAUCGAUCAGUGCGAGGCGAUUCGGGAAAUGGACCACUCUCAGCUCAUCGGAGCUCCUGUCGCGGUAUCAUCAGACGUUGUUGCUAAAGUAGACUCGGUGGCUAUUGUGGACGUCCGAGUUGGAAAUGCGGUUGCUGCUGUACCUGAGAUCAGUACUGUGAAGAGGAGGCGUGGUCGGCCUCCGCGUAAUCAGGGGAAAGUAGCACCUCCUCCUCCGAAGGCGAUGGAGGAAGAAGAUGUUUGUUUCAUUUGCUUCGACGGUGGUAGCUUAGUGCUAUGCGAUCGCCGGUGAGUCUGUUUGGUUUGGUAUUGGUGUUCGUUUGGAAUUUCUGCCUAGAGAAGACGGUAAUUUGCAUUUUAGGAAAUGGUCUACCAUAACCGAACCAUACUUGACCGUCAGUCUCUUGAAAUUUCAACUCUUGGAGGUCUAGGAUUUUAUACUCUCAGUUUGUUUGCGCCCUAUAAUUUAAUUGGUUUCACUUUUUUGCUUAUCAUGUAAUAGGGGCUGCCCUAAAGCAUACCACCCAGCUUGUAUCAAGAGGGAUGACGCUUUUUUCCAAUCAAAGGCCAAAUGGAACUGUGGUAUUCUCUCGUUCAAUGCUUUCAUUCUGGUCAUUUCCGGGGUUUUUCUGUUUUUGAUGUCUUUGCUUCUGUAUACACCAACGGUGCUGUAAACCUAUUCGCUAGAUUAUUGACCAUAUGUUUGUCUGGGGAGUUUAUGCUGGGAGGAACAACGCUUAGGGAAAGAAUUCUUGCGUGCAUUUCUUUUCUCUCAGAUCAUGUGCAUGUGUGAAUCAAUGUCUGGCACAUUCCAUUUCUCACUGCAUUCUUUUGUUGCUUUGCUGUGCUCAUGGUUGCUGGAUCGUUAGAAGACUGUCUUGCUCCUAUCUCUAUUAUCUCCCUUCGACCAUUAUUCUGUUUCUGUUUCUGCCACCCUCCUUGUAUUUACGCCAAUUUUGUCUAAUCAUGGCUGUUCUAGGGUGGCAUAUUUGUAGCAGUUGCGAGAGGGCUUCUCAUUUUAUGUGCUACACAUGUACAUACUCUCUUUGCAAAGGGUGCACCAAAGAUGCUGCUUACUUGUGCGUGAGAGGAAACAAAGGGUUUUGUCGACAGUGCAUGAAAAUGAUAAAGUUGAUUGAAAAAGUACCUCUGGAGAAUGGCGAGCAGGUAUGUUCAGCUAUCAAGUUUUGACUCAGCUUUUGACGUAUUUCUUGAUUCAAAUGCUUCCAGAAUAGGAAACAAAAUGUGUAUUUAUUAUGGUUGGGUUAUUGCUUAACUAUAUUCACCAUUGCUUUCGAGCAUAGUAUACAUCGAUGCUCUUUACCAUUACAAGGGACUUAGAUUUAAAGUUGUUGCCCUUAGUUUUCAUAUGAAUACUUGGUCGGAAUAGACGAAUCAGUACAUUAUUUAUCUUCUAUAACUGUGUUAAUCUCGCCACAUUUAUUGUUACCCCUGUUCCAUGCUAUUCUACAGGUUCAAGUGGACUUUGAUGAUAAAGGUAGCUGGGAGUACCUUUUUAAAGUGUAUUGGGUUUGCCUUAAAGAAGGCUUGUCGUUGACAGUAGAUGAAAUUUUAAAGGCUAAAAAUCCCUGGAAUGUUGAUGAGUUACCUAAAGCUAAAAGCCCUUGGAAAGUUCCUGCUGCUGUGGAUCCUGUGUCAGAAUCUUCAGGUGAACUUUAUUAUGGUCAUGAUGAAAAGGCUACUUCUUCAGGAAACAGCUAUGGGAGCUUGGAGACUAACUAUUCCAAGAGAAGAAAAUAUGAUGUUGAGCCUAAGAAUUUAACUGAUGAAAAACCUGUAGGUACUGAAAAGUCGAGUGUUUCAAAAGUUGCACCUUUGCCAGAGGGCAUACAAUGGGCAACAAAGGAGCUCUUAGAGUUUGUUGCCCAUGUGAGAAACGGGGACACAUCUUUUCUAUCUCAGCUUGAUGUGCAGGCUCUUUUGCUAGACUACAUUAAAAGAAACAAUCUUAGUGAUUCUCGCCGAAAAAGUCAGAUUCUUUGUGAUACAAGACUAAUAAACCUCUUUGGGAAAACACGUGUCGGUCAUAUUGAGAUGCUGAAGAUUCUUAAAAACCACUUCCUCGUGAAAGAAAAUCCCCCGUGUGAUGAAUCUGUUAGGGUAGACAUAGCUGCUGCUGCUGCCGCGGGUAGCUGCGCUGAUCCUUAUGUAGGUAUCGGUAACGGCAUUGUGGUUAACAAUGAUAGAAGGCGUAAGACGCGCAAAAGGAUGGAUGAGAAAGUUACUCAGUUCAAUCCCAAUCCAGAUGAAUAUGCAGCAAUUGAUGUUCACAAUAUCAAUUUGUUGUACUUGAAGCGUAGUUCGAUGGAGAAUCUUGUGAUUGAUGCUGAUACGUUUCACGAGAAAGUUGUUGGGUCAUUUGUACGUAUUAGGAUUCCUUGUGGCGAUCAUCGACAAGAUGUGCACCGGCUCGUUCAAGUUGUAGGUAUGCUUUGUAUGACCUGUUUUGCAGAUUAGCUUUCAUUAGUAUGUUUCUGUUGAUAAGUAUUUAGCUUAAGAAUUAUGGAGGCAUAACUAAUUCCACAUGCAGGGACUGGCAAGGCAGCUCAAUCAUAUAAGCUUGGCAUAAGAAUAACUGAUAUAAUGCUUCAAAUAAUGAACUUAGACAAGAAGGAAGUUGUGUCAAUCGAUGGAAUCUCCGACCAAGAUUUCUCUGAGGUGACUUGAGACACCACAUAAAUGCCCGACCUUGUUAUUUCCAUGCUGAGCACAGUUUUUCUCAUAAUCUCUGGAUAGCGAAUUAUGUGUUUGCAUUGUCAUACUCUGGCUUCUUUAGUUUGACAAACAAAUUUUAGCAUGUACCUAAGUACCUCGCACAUGGUAAAUGAAAUAUUUAAAGUCCUGCAUAUAUGGAAUAUCUUCUUUCCUUCCUGACAUUCAUGGUAUUGAACUGCUGCAUAUUCCUUAUGUAAUUACUAUUUUCUUCUAUGUACUACUGUUUACUGCAAAACCUCCAAUGUGCUGGCUUGCGAUUAACAUUUCCGUAUUAGUAUCUUUGUUGGUUUCACCUUGGUGGUUGUUUUAGGAGAAUGCUUAUAUCUUUCUUUCCGCAGUUCCAUGAUUCUUUCUUUGUGUUUGCUCGAAUCUUAAGGCCAUAGGACUACGGAUUUUGAUAAACCUUCCUGUCAUGGUAUGUUGAUGACAGAAUUAUUUUUCAAGAUCACCUUCUGUUUCUUAAAUUAUACUAAAUUGCUAGUGGACAUGGUUUAGAUGUAGGAGAAUGCUUAUAUCUUUCUUUCCGCAGUUCCAUGAUUCUUUCUUUGUGUUUGCUCGAAUCUUAAGGCCAUAGGACUACGGAUUUUGAUAAACCUUCCUGUCAUGGUAUGUUGAUGACAGAAUUAUUUUUCAAGAUCACCUUCUGUUUCUUAAAUUAUACUAAAUUGCUAGUGGACAUGGUUUAGAUGACUUCCUAGUAAGUUUUUUCAAUACAAGAGUGCAGUUAAUGCCAUUUAUUCUCAUCUAUAUUCUAGGGUUUUGGAGACUACUUCCUUAAUUUAGUUGUUUUUCAUGUUUGAUUGAAGACGCAAGAUGUUUCCAUUUUAGUUAAUCGUUUGGCUGAAAUAUGACAUAAGCACAAAAGCAUGACAACACAGCUUACAAAUUUCUGGAUUAUGGAAGGCCUAUAAUAGAGGCUGACUUGACCUUGUCAAUUAUGUUUCAGGAAGAAUGCAAGCGUCUAAGACUGAGUGUAGGAUCAGGCCUCAUAAAGCUUAUGAAGGUGGUAAGUACUCUGUAAGCUAAAUUUUCAUGCAUUUACUUGCACAAAUCUGCGCAAUUAUCGAUAAUACACUUUUACUCCAUUUUAGGGUGCAAUCCAGGAGAAAGCAAAGGCACUUCAUUCUGUCAAAGUGACCGAUGUAUGUCUAGCUGUUAUUAUAAAUGGUUUCUAUUUGUUCAAGCUCUAUGGUGACAGUUCUGACUUGGUUUUUUGUUUGUACUUGCGAAUCAUCUCGGCAGUUCCUGGAAGCAGAAAUAGCACAGCUUACUCAUCUCCGUGAUCGAGCUAGUGAGAAAAGACAGCGCAAGAAAUAUCCUUACAUACAAUGGCUGUUUUGGCUUUAAUUAAUUGCAUAACAAAUAGUCGAGAUUCCGUUGCUUUGUAGACAUCUUUGGUUAUUGCUCCCCUCAAGUAACUUAAACAAGUUGUGGAUGACCUUGUGGUCAUUACUGAUAAAAAUCACGUGCUAACGGGUCAAACUAUAAAAAUAGUAGAAAACUCCGCAUUUAUAGAUUGUGAGAACCUUGGUUGAUAUUUCUUGCGAUAACGAGUUUCCCUUGACCAUGAUUUACUCUUAGGGAAUGUACGGAGAAAUUGGAGAUUUUGCGGUCAGUUGAGGAACGGCAGCGGAGGUUGCAUGAGGUCCCCAUCGUUCAUUCUGAUCCAAAUAUUGGUUUCAGGUCAUCCAGCCAUGGACAAAAUAGUCCUGCAGCGGUGCCUACUGAACCUAUCUCUGCAGCUGCCCCUGUGAUGCAUUAUCCUCCUCCAACAACCGGUGUGGUACCCCUUAAUGAUGAAGAGAGACUUUGGCAUUAUCGUGAUCCAUUUGGAACGGUUCAAGGGCCCUUCCCUAUGAUGCAGCUGAGAAGAUGGAGUACAAGUGGGCUAUUCCCACUGGAUCUGAGAGUAUGGAUGAUGAAUGGGAAGGAGGAAGAGUCUAUUCUCUUGACUGAUGCUUUACUAGGGUUGUUCCGUAGAGAGCCUCUGUUGCCUGCAAAUAACCAUAUGCCUCCCCUGGAAGUAACAACUGAUUGUAGUGAUAAAGAUAAGAUGUGGAAUCGUGUGUUAAGUCAGGAUAAAUCAACAAACCAGAUGCCUCCGCAGGAAGUAAUCACUGAUUGUGAUGAUAAAGAUAAGAAUUUGAACCUUCGUCAGGAUACUUCAAAAAACCAUAUGCCUCCACAGGAAGUAAUCACUGAUUGCAGUGAUAAAGAUAAGAAGUGGAACCCUGCGUCAAGUCAGGAUACUUCGAAGAACUAUAUCCCUCCCCAGGAAGUAAUAAAUGACUGCAGUGAUAAAGAGAAGAAGUGGAACAGUUCGUCAAGUCAGGAUACUUCGACAAAUCACAUGGAUAAGAAUAAAGAUGAUCAAAAUGGGCCAUCUGAGAGAAAUGAUUUAAGCAGCAUGGAUGUUGGUAAUGAUGAAGUAAGGAGUAAUGAGCUGGGUUCUCGUUCGUCCAGGUUGACCAUGUUAGUGGAUCUUGUCAUUGGCAGUAAUGAACUAGACCAAAAAUCCGAGCAGCCCUGCGAAUUGUCCAAGAACGUUAAGUCUGGUGUCAGCCAGUCUCAAAUUUGUGAUUCAGUUGCUUCACCUUCUGCUUCUGCUAAAGAGCGUGAUGCCGAGUCGUUGCAGGUGGCACAAGUUGUUGAAGAGGAGAAUAGGAGUACUAGUGUUAAUGAUGUAAAGAGAAGUCCCAAGGAGCAAACCGUUGUUGAAGAGGGUGAUGAAAAGAAAGGAAAAAGUGAAGGUUGUUCCAGCCAGUCGUCUGGACAGAGUUGGCACUCUACACAUAUGAACAUCUCGUAUGGAUGGGAUCUGAACUCUACUUUCCCUUCUAUGGUCAAUUCAAACGGGACGGUAAAGAAUGAGCAGGAAGUUGAUUUCUCUGAGAUAGGAACUUCAUUGCCAAAGCAAAGCAAUGAGGACUCAAAAGGUCCAAGCGUUGGCGAAAGCAAACACUCAGUCUCUUGCAAUGUACCCAUAAUUGAUGCAGGGCCUAGCUGGAGCACUACUUCAAGUUUAGUUGCUGGGGUACGGCUUCCUGACGUGGCUGCUGAAUGGACAAGAUAUUCCUCUCCUGCAAAACCUUCCGUCGAGGACUGGGGUUCCAAUCUUGUGUCCGCAUCGUCCUUGAGGCCACCUAAUGGUUCGAGUGAUCACGGUACCAUACCGACUUCAGGAGCUGGUGAACUGAGACAUACUUCACCGUCGAUUGAUGCAGGAGGAUGGCAGGCAAUGGUGUCUGAACCCAAUGAGUUCUCUUUAGUCGAUGAAUCUGUUUCAGAUCUUUUGGCUGAAGUUGAGGCGAUGGAGUCUCUUGGUGGUUUGCCGUCCCCUACUUCAAAACUGAGUUGCGUCGGAGAUUUGAUGCACGUUUCGGACAAUGACUGCUUUAGUCCCGUCGAGGAUUUCAGUCCUGCGGCUGUUCAUGGGAGGAGCGAUGCAUUGAGCUCCACUGGGGAUAUACAAAUGCCAGGUCAAAUAUCUGUAGCGGAGGAACAACUCGGCCUAUCUAUCAUGCCUUCUCAGCCAAUAGUACCGAGAGAUUCACUCGAGAAAACCCAGAAGCCUCCCCAGUUGACAGUAACUGAGCCAUUCCACAUAUCUCUCAUGCUUUCUCAGCCACUUGUAACAAGUAAACCCCAGAGUGCUACGGUUCCGACCCCACAUCAUCGUCAAUCACAGGCAGAAGGGUCUUUCGGUAUAACACGUACCGAUGUUCUUGAUUCUCAGAAGAGCAGCUCCAAUGGCCACUCGAGCAACGAGGUGGAGAGAGAGAGACCACACAGUGUGAAAUCGAACCGGUGGGAAGGGAGUUCUGAAACACAGAAUCAUCACCAGUCAAGUUCAAAACAACCAAAGCUGGAGUUAGACAUCCACCUGCCAUUUGGCUCGAAUACGAGCCGUCAUGAAGUGGAAGCAAAGUCAGACGUCCAGUUUCAUGCCCCGGCCUCGGUAGAUUUGAGACUAGGGAACUCAAGAGGGCAGCGUUCAAUUCUUGGGAUAGCACCUGGUAUUGCUGCUCAAGGAAAUACUAGCAUUCAUUCAGGCAGUACUGGUCACAGCUCAGUCAAGAAACAAGCUAGCCAAUACCCUGCAGCUACUGCAGCAGGGAUUCCCAGUCUGCUGGGAAGUCCUAGGCAUGGCGGCGACAAACAUUCUGGGUCGAGAGAUCACCGGAGCCAUCAUCAGAGCAGUAGAGAUUCGGGUUAUGGUAGAGAAAGAUCCACGUGGAAUAGCAGCAGCAGGCAGUCAUCUCAUGGAGGUCACGGAGGUGGCGGCUCUUUCAAAGCGGCGCCAAAAGGGCCGAGAGUGUGCAAGUUCUAUGAAAACGGGUAUUGCAAGAAGGGAGCAUCUUGUAGUUUUUGGCAUCCGUCAUGAAGAAUAUUAGAUUUUAGGUGGCGAAGUUAGGGCGGGCGAAAAAGAAUGAGAAUUGUGUGCAUUAUGCAAUCUUGUAGACACCAUGUUUGUGCUGGGAAGUCUUUACAACUCACCCCAGCCAUUGAAAUGUAAACUUGUACCCAGGGUAUUUAUUUAAUCGCCAAAUGACGAGUUCCUAUGAUUCUGCGCGGACAAUAUAGUUGAUGUUUGAUGCCAAAUGCAUAAAAGUUUGUGAUCUAUUUCUCUCAAAAACUAAAGUUUGUGAUUUCAGAAGACUUAUAUUUUGGUUGGCAUGGGUGAAAGCGUUCGAGUUUAGCUUAACCAAAUCUAUAUUUUUUUUUCCGAAAGGGAUGGUAUUCGAAUUUGUCAUUCCUUAAAAACGUUCAAAAGAGCGUAUAAUGUGUCCACCGGAGGUACAGACUUCACAAACGGAGCUGUAUGGGCCACGAGUCACCGCAAGAAGCGUUAACCUCAGUCCAUGCUCACCAGUAUACGGACAACGAUAAAAAACCCAGUCACCAAAAAAGCGAUAAACAAAACUACGCAUAUACAUGACUAAAAGCAAAGAGAAAUCCUGGCUAUGGACUUUUGCAUGGUCCUUAUGGAAAACAUCAUAAAGCUAGUCUUAUGACUAUCGGCCUAAUCCGCUUAUGGGAAACAUCAUAAAGCUAGUCUCAUGGCUAUCGGCCUAAUCCGCUCAGAUGAGCGGCUCUGACCCUCAAUAGUGGGCGAUCAGGGCUAUCCGGGACUUGGCACUCCCCACCCUUGAAGUCCUCCUCUUUAAUUCCCCUAUCGAAGGCUCCGGGGGCCGCACUGUUGUUCCCAAUGUCGGAAAGCCCGGAGGCUGCAAUGGGCGGUGACUCAGCAGUUGCGGCGACUGAUUGGUAUGCGAGAUCCGUGGUGCAUCCUACCCGCAGCACCGAGCGAGAGGGAUUGGACAGCUUUUCGUGAGGAUCGACCUGGAUCGGCCGUCCCAAUCGUUGGAGUCUCCCUCCCUGAAUCCAAAGGUCGAGGAUCCCGAAAGUCGCGUUGUUACUUCCAACGCUGGGAGGCCGUGGUGGCUCAUGGAUCUGCCAUUGCGGUGGUGGAUCGAUUUGCAGGGACCCAUGUUUCAUCCUACCCACGACUCCGAGAGGAAGGGGUGGAGCAGUGGCCCAAGGUUAGGAGUCCUCUACAAUUCCAGCUCAGAAUUCGCAUCAUGCUUGAUUUCUUAAAAAACAACAACGGCAGUCGACAACUCUUCUUCUCUUAGUGAGAGGUGCAGCUAGGACAGCGUUUUUAUGUUUCAGCCGACGGAAGAUUAUUACUUAAUUUAUAAUUUUCGUUUGAUAGAUAACUCCUCAUAGAAAUAAUUGGGGAUAAAGAAUUUAUCCAAGUCGUGAAAUGAGUUUCAACACAGUUAGGGUGAUAUGAAAUAGUAUUUCGAACUAUUUUAUGUACGGUUUUAUAUGGCACCUGUCACAUAAUGAACGCUUACCAAGUAGAUUUUUAGACAAUCAAUGUAACCUGCCAGGGCGCCAUGUUGAUUAGGACAAACCCGUACGAUGAAGAAUUCAAAGCAACACCAGGGCAAAACAAUUAAACAUUGCAUGGGUUUCCAUUUGUAGGUGCGACUCGAUUGGAAGUUAGAACAUGAUACCUUUGUACAAUUGUAUUCAUGAUAACAAGUUUUCGGAUUGUCGAAGGUCUAAUCGCUCCUAUGUGAACAUAGAAGCGUUGUAUUUUUAUUUUUACAAUUAUGAGUUUGGCAGAGUUAUGUAUGUUGAUUAUGCCGUCACCAUUAAUAUCACGUCCGGUGGUAACAUGAGAUACUAGAAGUAUAACUUGAUGAUAUUUAAUGACAGCAAUUAGUUGGGUGGUUAAUAUGAUGUGAAAAUCAUAAUUGAGUGGUGUAUGGAAUCUAAAAUUCUUGAGUGAAGGAAGUUCGUAGUCAAUUUUACUUACUUUUUGAGAUGCUUCCCCUGAGGGAGUUAUUAUGCCCAUGAGAAAGACGGAAAGGAAUGAGUGCCGGAAUCGAAGUGCGCGUUUGACCGAUGAUGCAGCUGUACUAGUAGUGUAAAAAGCCUCCCCACCAUCCCUUGUCGUCGUCACUCGUCACAGAACAGUCGGCCUACCUGUACUUUCUUUUUUAGCCAUUGUUGUCUUCCAUUUUCUCAGCUCACCCAAUCCAAAGUCUCCGCCUUUUCUGAAUAUGACUACCUUUCUCCAAAGGCAAGAGAGAGAGGAAGAAGAGCUGUGCAAGAAAGAAAUAGCAUUGCUCUGUCCUUCCAGUCCAUUUCCACGUGCCCCCCCACUAUCUCCACCGGCGAUCAUCCCCUCCUUCCUCCUCCGACCUAGGGUUUCGGCUUAGCUGCUUACCCUUCUAAUCUUACUUCGAUUUUAGUAGUUUCAAAUUCUUCAUAUGAGAUUUCAUCAGCAGCAUCAGUGGUAGCGUUUGCCUUUUCGUUGAUGAUUCUCUAAUCGAACUUAACAACUCCGACGAGAUGGAGCAGCAGCAGCAGCAGGUGGCCAGGACGUGGAAAGGGGAAGGAGAGCAGAAUCAGCGGGGUGGUGUUUUCGACAGUUUGCUACGGGGAGUUGGAGCUGAGAACAUGACCAUCGAUCAAUGCGAGGCGAUUCGGAAAUUGGACGACGACUCUCACCUAAUCGGAGCCCCUGUCACGGUCUCAGCAGACGUUGCUGCUAAAGUAGAGUCGGCGGUUACUGUGGACGUCCAAGUUGGAAAUGCGGGGGCUGUUGUUCCUGAUAUCAGUGUGGUGAAGAAGAGGCGUGGUAGGCCUCCGCGUAAUCAGGCGAAAGUAGCGCCUCGGACGACGACGAAGGAGAUGGAGGAAGAAGAUGUUUGUUUCAUUUGCUUCGACGGUGGCAGCCUAGUGCUAUGUGAUCGCCGGUGAGUCUGGUUUGUUUUGGAAUUUCUGCCAAGAGAAGACCUUUAAUUUUUAUUUCAUGUCUGUUGCAUCUAUAUGCUUUUUCAAAGGCAGAGUGGAUAAACACCAUAACAAAGUUUCUACCAUAACCGAACUAGACGGGGACGUCAAUAGUCUCAGUUUGUCCCUUAUAAUUUGAUUGGUUUCUCUUUUUCUGGAUUAUCAUGUGAUAGGGGCUGCCCUAAAGCAUACCACCCAGCUUGUAUCAAGAGGGAUGACGCUUUUUUCCAAUCAAACGCCAAAUGGAACUGCGGUAUUCUCUCGUUCAAUGCAUUCAUUCUGGUCAUUUUGUAUGGAAUAUCAUCAACUGCUUGUGCGUGAUCGAUUACUUUGGAUUCUAUAGUUUCUUCUCUGAUAUCAUGUGCAUGUGUGAAUCAAUGUCUGGCAUAUUCCCUUUCUCAUUGCAUGUUCUUUUUUGCUUUGCUGUGCUCAUGGUUGCUAUAUCGUUAGAAGAAUGAUGAAUCUAGUACUCCGUACCUAGCCUGCUCCCAUGACUCUUCCUUAUUCCUCCCCGGACCACUAUAUUGUUUCCAUUUCUACUACCUCUUUGUCUUUAUAUUGUUUUUGUCUAAUCAUGGCUGUUUUAGGGUGGCAUAUUUGUAGCAGUUGCGAGAAGGCUUCUCAUUUCAUGUGCUACACAUGCCCAUACUCUCUUUGCAAAGGGUGCGCCAAAUUUGCUGAUUACUUAUGCGUGAGAGGAAAUAAAGGUUUUUGUCGAUCGUGCAUGAAAAUGAUAAUGCUGAUAGAAAAUGUACCAGCUGAGAAUAGUGAGCAGGUAUGUUGGUUAUCAUGUUUUAAUUAAGCUUUUGAUAGAUUUCUUGCAUCAAUUGCUUUCGAAGUAGGAAAUAAAUAUGUUGUUUAUUAUGGUUGGAUUAAUGUUGAACUACUUUUCGCACCGUUGCUGUGUUUUGUUUCUUGUGUCAUUCAAGCAUGCUAUUCAUUGAUGCUCUAUGCCAUUGCAAGUGACUUAGAAUUGAAAGUCACGGCCCUUAGUUUUCCUCUAAGUAUGUUGUGGGAAUAAACGAAUUGGUAUAUUAUAUAUCUUUUUUAACCGUAUCAAUCUCUUUAAAUUCAUUCCUAUUCUACAGGUUCAAGUGGACUUUGAUGACAACACUAGCUGGGAGUAUCUUUUCAAAGUGUAUUGGGUUUGCCUUAAAGAAAGCUUGUUAUUGACAGUAGAAGAAAUACUAAAGUCUAAAAGUUCCGGGCAAGUCGAUGAAUUACCUAAAACUAGAAGCCCCUGGAAGGUUUCUGCUGUUAUGGAUCCUGUAUCAGAAUCUUCAAGUGAACUUUGUUAUGGUCGUGAUGACAAGGCUACUUCUUCAAGCACCAGCUAUGGAAGCCUGGAUACGAACUAUUGUAAGAGAAGAAAAUAUGAUGUGGAACCUAAGGUUUUAAGUGAUGAAGCAUCUGUAGGUACUGAAAAGUCGAGUGUUUCUAAAGUUGCACCUAUGCCGGAGGGCACGAAAUGGGCAACAAAGGAGCUCUUAGAGUUGGUUGCACAUGUGAGAAAUGGGGAUGCAUCUUUUCUAUGUCAGUCUGAAGUGCAGGUUCUUUUGUUAGAAUACAUUAGAAGAAACAAUCUUCGUGAUCCUCGCAGAAAAUGUCAGAUUCUUUGUGAUACAAGACUAAUAAACCUCUUUGGGAAAACACGUGUUGGUCAUAUUGAGAUGGUGAAGCUUCUUGAAUAUCACUUGCUUGUGAAAGAAAACCCCUCGCAUGAUGAAUCUGUUAUGGUAGACAUAGCUGUUGCUGAUGCUGGUACUGCUGCUGCAGAGCGUAGCUGCACUGAGGUUCCCUUUGCCCAUUCUGAUCCAAAUAUGGGUCCACAUUGCAAGUCGGAAGGAAAUAUCAAAGAGGCCAAAAAUCAUAUAACAUUGAACCAUGAAGGAAUGGGUUCAUCCAGCCAUGGACAAAAUAUAUCUGCAGUUUCCUCGGUCAUGCAUUUUCCUCCUCCAACUACCGAAGGAGUGAUAUCUAAUAAUGAUGAGUUACAGCGACUUUGGCAUUAUCGUGAUCCAUUUGGAACUGUUCAAGGGCCCUUUCCUAUGGUGCAACUGAGGAAUUGGAGUACAAGUGGGCUAUUCCCCUUGGAUCUGAGAGUAUGGAUGAUGAAUGGAAAGGAGGAAGAGUCUGUUCUUUUGACUGAUGCUUUACUUAGGUCGUUCCAUAAGGAAAUAAUAACUGAUCGUAGUGAUAAAGAUAGUAAGUGGAAUUGUGCAUCAAGUCAGGAUACUGCUACAACUCAUAUGGACGAGAAUAUAGUCCAUCAAAAUGGGCAGCCCGAGAAAAAAGAUUCAAGUAGCACGGAUGUUGGUAAUGGUGAAGUUACCAGUAGUGAAGUGCUAGGUUCUCGCUCUUCCAGGUUGACCAUGUUGUUGGAUCUUGUCAUUGGGAGUAAUGAACUAGAUAAAAAUUCUGAGCAGCUCUGUGACUUGUCCAAAAAUAGCAACUCUGGUGGCAAUCAAUCUCAAAUUUAUGAUCCAGUUGCAUCACCUUCUACUUCUGCUAAAGUGUGUGACGUUGAGAUGCUGCAUGUGACACCAGUCGGUGGAGAGGAGAAUAAGAGUACCAGUGUUAAUGAUGUAAUGAGAAUCCCCCAUAGGACAAAUCCUAAGGAGCAAACCGUUGGUGAAGACGGUGAUGGAAAUGAAGUAAAAACUGAAGGUUGUUCCAGCCAAUCUUCUGGGCAGAGUUGGCAUCCUACACACAUGAACAUCUCGUAUGGAUGGGAUCUCAACUCUACUUUUCCGUCAAUGGUUAAUUCAAAUGGGGCAGUAAAGAAUGAACAGGAAGUUAGUUUCUCGGAGGUAAAGCAUGACAAUGGGGAAUCAAAAGGUCAAAGUGGCGAACAAAAAUACUCUGUUUCUUGCAAUGUAUCCAUCAUUGAUGCAGGGCCCAGCUGGAGCACUACUUCAAGUUUAGUUGGUGGAGCACGGCUUCCUGAUGUUGCUGCUGAAUGGACAGGAUACUCCUCUGUUCCUGCAAAGCCUUCUGUUGAGGACUGGGGUUCCAAUCUUGUCUCUGCAUCAUCCUUCAGGCCACCUAAUGGCUCAAGUGGUCAUGCUUCCAUACCAACUUCAGGAGCUGGUGAACUGAGACACAGUUCACUGUCGCAUGGAUCAAUUGAUACAACAGGAUGGCAGGCAAUGGUCUCUGAACCCAACGAUUUCUCUUUAGUUGAUGAAUCUGUUUCAGAUCUUUUGGCUGAAGUUGAGGCAAUGGAGUCUCUCGGUGGAUUUCUGUCCCCUACUUCCAAAUUGAGCUGCGUUGGAGAUUUGAUGCAUGUUUCAGAUAAUGAUUGCUUUAGUCCUGUUGAGAAUUUCAGCCCUGCUCUUCCUCGUGGGAGAAGUGCUGCAUUGAGCUCCGCUGGGGAUAUAGAAAUGCCAUCUCGAUUAUCUGUUGCAGAGGAACAACUUGACCUAUCUAUCAUGCCUUCUCAGCCAAUUGUACCGAGGGAUUCCCUUGAGAAAACACAAAAGCCUCCCCAGUUGACAGUAACCGAACCAUUUCACACAUCUCGUAACAAGUGAACCCCAGAGUGCUACAAGCCCGACCCCAUCUCGUCUAUUACAGUCAGAAGGCCCUAUUGGCAAUAUACGUACUGAUGUUCGUGAAGCUCCAAAGAGCUCCAAUGGACACCAGAGCAAUGAGUUGGAGAGAGGUUCAGGACUGCACAAUGUUACAGCUAACUGGUGGGGAGAGACUUCGGAAGCAUAGGCUCACCAGUCAAGUUCGAGACAAGCAAAGCUUGAUUUAGACAUCCAGCUUCCGUCUGCCACGAAUGUCAGACGUCCAGUUGCCUGCCCCAGCGUUGGUAGAUUUGAGAUUAGGGAACUCCAGAGGGGGUUCAAUUAUUGGCAUAGCACCUGGUAUUGCUUUUCAAGGAAAUACAAGCACUCGUCCAGGUACCAGUCACGGCUCAGUUAAGAAGCAAAGUACCCAACACUCAACCACUUCCACAGGGCAUUCAACUACCAGCACUGGGAAUCCCAGUCUGUUUGGAAACCAGCCGAAGCAUCAAAGUAGCAGAGGUUCAGGUUUUGGUAGGGAAAGGUCAGUGUGGAACGGCAAUGGCAGGCAGUCUCCUCAUGGAGGAGACACUUUCAGAUCACCGCCCAAAGGGCAGCGAGUGUGUAAAUUUUACGAAAACGGGUGUUGCAAGAAGGGAGCGUCGUGUAGUUUUUGGCACCCAUCAUGAUGCAAAUUUUUUGUUUAGAUCAUGAGGGAAGAGAAUACAUUGUAGGCAUGUAUACUAGCAAGUAUUUUCCUCUCUAUUGCCAAUAUUAACUCAAGUUAAAUUAAAAUUCAACACAUUUCAAUUCCAUGAUUCCAUCCAUUUGUGGCAAUUGUAAUAAUGAUCUCAGACAAUUCAUUUAGUCAUAAAUUUCAAAAGAGGAACAACACAAUACCAAGUUUAAAUACCACACCACAUAACAUAUUUAUCAUAAAAUNNNNNNNNNNNNNNNNNNNNNNNNNNNNNNNNNNNNNNNNNNNNNNNNNNUUUUUUUCCCCCCCCCCCCCCCCCCCCCCCCCCCCCCCCCCCCGCCAUUCCCCCCCCCACCUCCCCCGCCGCCUCCGCUUCCUCCGCCCCAUCCAUGCCCGCCACCAUUUCCUCCUCCACCCCCGCCACCUCCACCACCGCCGCCAUUUCCGCCUUUUCUUUUGUGAGCCUUACCUUUACCUUUACCUUUUCCACUGCCACCUCCACUCCCACCACCACUUCCUCGGCCUCCUCCACUACCCCCGCCACUUCCUCUGCCUCCACCACCACCAUUUCCACUACCGCCACCACUUCCUCUGCCUCCGCCACCACCAUUUCCACUACCACCGCCACUUCCUCCGCCACCACCAUUUCCACUGCCGCCGCCGCCAUCUCCUGCAUGAUUUACGUUUGCCAAAUUUUCCAGUACUGCACUACCGUUGUUUAGUUCCUCCUUACCUUGGACGAAGACAUUUGAUGGGUUAACAACGGAUCUUUCUGUCGUGUUAAAUACAACUGCGACGCCGGCAUUUCUUUCCUGGACCUUGCUAUCCGCCCAAAACGGAACAAAUCCUAGCACCAGAACAAUCACCAGUGUCGGCCCCGUUCCCCUAACCAUCAUAUUAAGCUUAUGUUUUCUCUGCUCCUUUGACGAGGAAUCAAGUGAACCCAACAUUGCCCCCUUUUAUAAGCGCUUUUGGUACGUACCGACCCACCACAUUGUGCAUUGUAC